UUGGGGUUGGUGGCUUGUGUUCUGGGAGUGGUUUCUCUCCCUUGGGAGGUUUAGUGGGUGACUUGUGUUCUGGAGGUGGCUUCUCCACCGAAGGCUUGUGCUCCGGUGGUGGCUUUUUGGUUGGAGGGGGCUUGGGGUAAUCAGCAAGAGAUGGGGUGGUGAGAACCACCAGUCCAAGGAACAACACUAGCAAGUAUGUGGGAGACAUUUUUGAGUUUGGGCUGAUCAGAUGAUGCAAAACUAAAGCAUUACGUGACCUUUUAUAGCAAGUAGCUCCCAAUACCUACUUGACACGUGUUACUGUGACCCAUAAAUAUUAUGGGGUCUAUUUGUGCCCUACCGGGUUGAAAACUUGGACAAUUGGGCAAGGACCCGCCUGACUAUGGAGGACUACUGAGGUGUGAUCACAGCUUUAGGAUUUUUCUUCCUCUGCAGCCGUCUUGCCGUUGGCAUGAUUUUCUUAAUCUCAAAUAAAGGCAUAGUUAUAGAGUUGUUUAAUCUCUAAAUGGGAUUUUAUAUAUCUUCAGAUAGCCAUUAAUACAUUUGAUGAAGAAAGAAAGACAAGUGCAUACAACAUGUAUACGACUAGCUUUCAUGGAGUUCAUUUAUGAUCAGUUUUCCUGUACAUGUAAACCAAGAUCAUAUAUGUUUUUGUUCCACAACAAUUUUGGAAUCUUGUUUAUCCGUUUUUAUCAUUAUAAUGUCACAUAGGCUGCCAACUUGGGCGCUAAAUUAAAGAUCCAGUUGGGCAAGUUCGUUUCAGAAUUUCAAUGGUGGAUUCAGGAAUUGUUUUAUAAGAUAUGCAAAAUAGUAGAGGGAUGAAUAGUGUUUCAUUAAGAAAAGAGCCCUGUAAAAAUAUUGUUUAAAGGUGCCAUAGAAACUAUAAUCAAUAAAUAACUUUUUUUCCCCAUGGGUGGUGUUUCUUGUGGGGAUCAGUGACUGGUUUGAGUCAACGCCGUGUCUCUUUAGUCCAGAAAUCAACUAUUUUAUGCAUUGAAUACAUCAACAAAGAAAAUAUGAAAGCCAAAUGACACCUCCCCCGCAAAAACUAAACCCUGGUUGCUAACUUUCUAUGUUUCAGUUCCAUUCACACAAGAAUAUUAGUUCAAGUUUGAGAAAAAUGGCGACUUACCUAGUGAUAACUCGGUCUUGGUUUGCGAUUUGACUUUAACGUCAUGGGUUGAAGCCUCCUACAAUCAUCGUGUAUGCUAGUUCAAAGCUCGUGGAAGAAGUUAUACAGGGAGGGAGAAACCUCCACAGCAAGCUCCAAAAGAGAAUUAUCACAUUGAAAGCUCCAGUUGAACACUGGGUGAAAGCCAUAACAAGAUUGGUUUUCUAUCGCUCUUUUAAGUAAUGGAAGAUUAUUAUCUCUGCUUGUCACUACAACCGUGCAUGCUGCUAGAUCUUUCUAGACACUUCAAACAGUGAAACCAAGUAUGAUUCUUUUUCUCUUGAGUGGGUCCACUUGCAUGCCAAUGAACGAGUUGAAAAGUUGGACAAUUGGCCACAGCGCGCACUUACCUUCUGGAACCGAAGGUCAGUGAAGUGGGGUUCCUUUUGGCCCCUUGUGUUUCUGUUCCAACCUACUCCAGGAACCGAAGUUCAGUGAAGUGGGGCUACUUUUGGCCUCUUGUGUUUCUGUUCCAACCAAACAAAAAUGGGAGGGAAAAAUAGCAUUAUGCUUGUGCUAAAGAUCAACGCAUGAUAGCUGAAUAAGGGAGAAAAAGGCAUUGCUAUCUCAAUUUCAUAAACUUGAUAAGUAGUGACAUUAAUAGUCUUCCUCAUAGAUGGAUACAUGGUUUUAUUUUAUUUAUUUAUUUUUAUUUUUUUGUUUUAUGUCAAUGCUAAUGAAUGAAGUGCAUUAGCUUGUUUUGUGACUAGAACUACAAAUGUCCAAAUUGGAGCUUCUCCAAUAUAUUUCUCAGUGAGUUAUUGAUUAGAACUCUUGGAUUGAGUUCCAAGAUUUGAAUCAGACCCCUCUAGCAGCUUCAGGGGUACGUAGCAACCUAUAGCAUAUUAAUGAAGACUUAGGAUUUAGACUUAGGAAUACAAAUUAAUAUGUACCUCAUGCUCUGACUAGCUUCCCUGCGUAUGCACAAAAUGGAGAUGACUCCCAAAAAAAUAGCAGAAUCGCCUUAGUAUGUUUUUGUGGUUAAGAUGAUUCUCCACUUUAUAUAUCCACAUUGGUUCAUUAUGCAAAUUAAUCAACUAAGCUAUUUUUAUUUUUUCUUAAAUGUGAAAUAGGAGCUCCAAAUUAACCUAACCAUUGGCCUGAUUGAAUUGAUUUCACUUGCAUAAUGUUAUAGUAGAAGUCCGUAAUUUGAAUUUUAUUUUUGCAAAAGGUAACGUAAAUGAAGCAUUGUAAUUAAAUUUAUUUGUAAUUACAAACUAAUUUUAUUUUAUUAAGAAUUAAUUUAAUUACUCAUUUAAAAUAAAAAUCAGUUAUACUUUUACCAAGAUGAUAAUAUUCAUAUUUUUCUAGUUAACAUAUAUAAAAUAGUACACUUUUUCAUAUAAAAAAAUAAUUUAUGAUUUAUUAUAAUGUUACUAUUCACAUUUUACUAAAUUGAUGGUACAUGAUAGUGAGAGAAGGGGGUGUCACACUCAGCUAAAGUUCUUUUCAAAAUAUUGCAUGGUGUUUAAUUUUAUGUGUCGGCGCGCGUGUGAAUGGAACCUGCAAAAGUCCAAAUUGGCGUUUCUCCAUUUUCCACAUAGGAUGGUGACGUUAAUAGACAAAGAUACAAUAUCUGUAGACAUUGCUUAAAAAUCGAUGUGAAGUAUUAGAAAUUACAGGGCACUGUACUGGGGGAGCGGCUGCCCCGCCAAAGGAGGAAGAAUGUAGCAAUUUCUUCUGUUAGCCAGGCCUUAGGAUUUAUGCAUGGGAUGCCUAAUAACAAACAGAGAAAAUAUACUUUUGGGGAAGGUAUCCAACAACAGACACCAUCAUUCAGAUGGUGGGAAGGUAUCCAACAGAUGCCAUCAUUCAGAUGGUAACAUAUAUAUACAUUUAUUAGUGAGUUUUUUUAAUACCUAUAAAAAAAAAUAUACACUUUGAUAUUGUGGCUGAAUCCAUUACAUACUCAACUAACCUUGCUCAUUAGGGAUUUGACUUAACAAGGGCAACGUUGCAGUACAAGCUCAAAACUUUAUGCAGGUGACAUUACAUUUGGUAAAGAAGAGGAAAAUAACGAAAGCCAUCCAUAAAAGCAAAAUUCCACAUGGGAUGAAAUUCACAAGCUUCAUUUACGAUAGAGUCGCAUCCAGGCAAUUAAUUCCACAUUAGACCGCCUGUUGACAUGUGUACCAAUCUUUUUUCAAAAAAUAUUUAUAAAUAAUUGAUACUCACAAAAAUAAUUUAAUAUUUAUAAAGGAUAAAAAAAUAUUUUCAAAUCUAUAACAAUUUAUAAAAUAUUAAUAAAAAAUUAUCUCUUAAACUUAGUAUAGUUUUAUCAGAUUAAACUUUUAUUUUGAACAAAUAAUUUUAAUCUAAGUUUUAAAUUCUAAAAUUAUUUCCUUAAAAUAAAAUUUUAAAAUUCAACACUUCAAUUGAAAUUGUCUUUUUAAAAAAUAUCUUCUUAUUUUAAUCCUUAUAAACUAUAGUUGAUUGAAAAUACUAUUGAAGUUCUCUCUUAAAAAAAAGUCUUAUUUUAAUCUUCAUAAAUUGCCCUUGAUUUGAAAAUAAAUUUUCAGUUAUCAUAUUUUAAAUAAUAUCUAUAUUUAAAAUACUCUAUUUAAAAAAAAAUGAACUAAUUUUAAUUAUAUUAUAUUUUAUUUUUUUAUAUAUUUUUAAUGAUAAACCAAACAUAGAAAAUCAUUUUUCUAAAUAUUUUAAAAUUUCUAAGCAACCAAACAUAAUCUUCAAAAUAAAAGGAAAAUAAGGAGGGACAUUUGAGAAAUGGCGAUUAAAAAAAAGUGUACAAAAGCUCAAUUAAUUUUCUUCUAGUCUUUUAUAUAAAAAAGUAAAGGAAUUGAAAAGUAUUGAUAUGUAAAUUAAUAUUUGGAUUUUAAUAGUAUUUUAUUUGUCUUUCUCUAUCUCAUGUAAAAGAGAAUUUAAGAUAUUUCCUAAAGCAAAGCAUUAGUUAUCUGCAAUCAGUGGUGAUCAUGCCCCAUGUCAAUUUCGGACCCAUAUCUUAAAACUGUAUAAUUUGCAUUCAAACAUUACUGAUUUCUCAGAUGUUUCAUACUCCACAGAAGAGCAUUGUUUGUGAAAGCAUGCAUUUAUGUUGGAUUUUGGAUGAUGUGGGAACUGGGGCAAGGAUCAUAUGGAAGAGUGGUCGAUUUUGUUCUGUACUUUAACAUUUGAAAUAGGAGAAGCUCGGGCAUUUGUGGGGCUUAAUUGAUUUUGAAGCCUGAAAUUGCGUUUCUGUCAUUUUGUAAAAAAUAUGGCAGAUUCCAUGCUCUCAUAUGUUUGGUCUGUGGCCAUGUAUAGAUGCCCCUUAGUGACCAGUUUGUAACUGUCAAUCAUAGUGUUUUGACUCUGGCUCAACAACAUCAGCCAUUGACGGAUUUUCAUACUUGCAAAUCAAAUAGUCUUCUUCCUCCCUUAGGAAUUUCGGUUUAAAUGUUAUUAAGCAUACAUUUGGCUGACAAUUAUUAACCACUUCAUGAUAUGGUUUCUUACCCUUAAUCAAUGGUUUCUAAGUGAAUAUAUGCAGAAGGAAAUCUGAACUGUAGACAGCAGUAUUGAUAACUCUCAAUAUUCUUUAUAUAAGAGAAUAAACAACGUCAUAGUGAUCGUCGCCUACAAGAAAGGUACAUUUCCCAACAAGAUGUAGUUGUGACUGGUACAUGGACGCAAUUAACUCGUACAAAAGAAUAAGACCAGUGCACGGCAGCUCUUAUUUUACAUGCUAAUUAUGCUAACCAAAGUCACUCAGUUGGGAUGGGAGGGAGAUGGAGGUUUGUGCGGUGGCUUGUGGGGCGGAGUUGGUGGCUUCUUUUCAGGAGCUUGUGGCUUUUUCGGAGCUGAAGGAGGCUCAAUCUUAUGAGGCGGCUUGUACGAGUCUUCUUUACUCUCGACAGGAGGGUGGCCAGGGUUGUGACCAUAAUGUGGUGGCUUCUCUCCCUUAGGUGGCUUGCCAACUGGGGUUGGUGGCUUGUGUUCAGGAAGUGGUUUCUCUCCCUUGGGAGGUUUACCAAUUGGGGUUGGUGGCUUGUGUUCUGGGAGUGGUUUCUCUCCCUUGGGAGGUUUAGUGGGUGACUUGUGUUCUGGAGGUGGCUUCUCCACCGGAGGCUUGUGCUCCGGUGGUGGCUUCUCCACCGGAGGCUUGUGCUCCGGUGGUGGCUUCUUGAUUGGAGGGGGCUUGGGGUAAUCAGCAAGAGAUGGGAUGGUGAGAACCACCACUCCAAGGAACAACACUAGCAAGUAUGUGGGAGACAUUUCUGAGUUUGAGCUGAUCAGAUGAUGCAAAACUAGAAGAAUUACGGGACCUUUUAUAGCAAGUAUCUCCCAAUACCCACAUGACACGUGUUACUAUGACCAUAAAUAUUAUAGGGUCCAUUUGUGCCCUACCGGGUUGAAAACUUGGACGCUUGGCCGAGGACACACCUGACUAUGGAGGACUAUUGACGUGUGAUCACAGCUUUUGGAUUUUUCUUCCUGUGCAGCUGUCUAGCGGUUGGCAUUAUUUUCUUAAUCUUAAAUAAAGGCAUAGUUAUAGAGUUGUUUAAUCUCUAAAUGGGAUUUUAUAUAUCUUCAGAUAGCCAUUAAUAUAUUUGAUGAAGAAAGACAAGUGCAUACAACAUGUAUACGGCUUGCUUCAAUCGAGUACAUUUAUGAUCAGUUUUCCUGUGCAAGUAAACCAGUUUUUUGUUCCACAACUAUUUUGGAAUCUUGUUUAUCAGUUUCUAUCAUUAUAAUGUCACAUAGGCUGCAAACUUGGGCACCCAAAGAUCUAGGUGGGCAAAUUUGUUUCAGACUUUCAAUGGUGGAUUCAGUAAUUGUUAAAAGGUGUUUCUUCAUUAAGGAAAGAGUCCGGUAAAAAUAUUGUUAAAAGGUGUCAUAGAAACUAUAAUAAAUAAAUAACUUCUUUUCCCCAUGGGUGGUGUUUCUUCUGGGGAUCAGUGACUGGUUAGGGUCACCCAAAAUGAGUCCAGAUUAAAAUUGGUUCGAGUCAAAGCAGUCUCUUUUGUCCAGAAAUCAACUAUUUUGCGCAUUGAAUGAAUCGAUAAAGAAAAAAUGAAAGCCAAAUCACACCUCCCCUGCAAAACCUAAACCCCGGUUGCUAACUUUCUAUGUUUCAGUCCUAUUCAUAUAGGAAUAUUGGUUCAAGUUUGAGAAAAAUGGCAACUUACCUAGGGUUUACUUGGUUUUGGUUUGCGACUAUUUACGCAACCAACCAUGAGUUUGACUUUAACGUCAUGGGUUGAAGCCUCCUACAAUCAUGUAUGAUAGUUCAAAGCUCGUGGAAGAAAUUAUACAGGAAGGAAGAAACCUCCAAAGCUAGCUCCAAAAGAGAAUUAUCACAUCGAUAGCUCCAGAGAUUCCCAAGGGAACUGAAUCAAAGACAAGUUCCUCACUUUUUCUUCUUUUGAGGCCAAAUAUGAACCAAGGAUCACACGACCUCAUUCAACUUCAUAAGUUUGAUUUCAUGCAGUUGAACACUGGGUGAAGGCCAUGACAAGAAUUGAUUAAAAAAUUCUACCACUCUUUUAAGUAAUGGAAGAUUAUUAUCUCUGAUUGGCACCACAACAGCACAUGCUGCUAGAUCUUUCUAGACACUCCAUGCAAUGAAAGCACAAUGGAUCUUGUAAUGAUAGAAACUAAGCCAUGCUACAGUACUAGAUGAGGGGGUAAAACUAGUAGACAUCUUUCUAGACACUCCAUGCAAUGAAAGCACAAUGGAUCUUGUAAUGAUAGAAACUAAGCCAUGCUACAGUACUAGAUGAGGUGGUAAAACUAGUAGACAUGGCUGGCAGUUGAUUACUACUCAAAAAGUACUCUUUUAUAGCUUGAAACUAACUGUUUUAAACACUUUUGAGUAGUAGUUAAUACCUUUUAACUUAAUUGGCACAUUAAGGAACCUAGCAAGGGUUACUAAUCAACAUUUGGCAAGUUUUGAUGUUUUUGGUAGCUAUUUGAUCAUUGAAACAAGCCAAGAAUGAGGGGGAAUUUUGUGAAGUCCAUGGCAAUGCAAGUUAAAGCUCAAAUACAUGAAGAAUCCAAGCUUUGGAGCACUUCAUAGCCCUUUGCCAAGCCAAUCAAAGAUGCAAGGAAGAAAACCAAAGGAAGAAAUCCAACAAUCAGCAUUUUGGCAUGGCUAUGUGAAAUUUCGCACACCAUGCGAAACCACAAGAGGCAGCCAAAGAAUUUCGCAUGGUAUGCGAAAUCUUCUUGUGCACUGACUCUGUUAGAUUUUUAUCUUCAGAUAUUUUGUGUAAUUUCCUAGUUUCUCCUUGUAACCAACUUAGAUAUUUUCUUUUAUAUCUUUUUUUAUAUUUUUUAGGUAACAUCAUAUAUAAGAGGAGAGACAUAAGGAGGAUAUGGAUGUUUUUCAUAGAACACUUGUAAAUUUUUGGUAGUAAGAAAUAUACAAAGCUUUUUGCUCUGCCUUACCUUCUCAAGGGAUGAGUGGCUAGGUUUUCUUGGAGUGAGGGAAGCUAGGUGAAGGACCUGAAUGCAAAGGUGGGAGUUUUCCUUACUUUAAAUGAAAGUAGUUGUUAAACAUUAAUGGUUUUUAUUUUAAGGUUUAGCUUUAAAUCCCUGAAAAACACCUUGAAUGGCCAAUACUUGGUAAGCUUUUUAGAUUCUAUGGAUGCUUAUUGCUAGAUCCAUGGAUGUCUAUUAGUUAUCAUUUACGAGCCAUUGGAAGGUGAUUCAAGGUGAGGGUCUUUAGUGUUUGAAGCCAUUAAUGGGAAGCAAUUACCAUUUUUUCAUGAAUCCUUUGGAUCAAAUCUUAAUUGCUAAAUAUAAAACCGGUUUCGAGAGAUAACCACCAUCCUUUAUGUUAUUAUCCCCAACGCGAGGAGAAGAUCCGAAAUCUUCCUUUUUAUCUAAGGAACCCGAUCCUAGUGACCUAAAGCUCCAAGAUACCUUUUCUUUGUAGUUAACUUCAUUUAUUGUUUUUGCUUAACUUAAAAUCAAUCUUUGCAACCACAAUUCCAUUUUCUUUAAAAGCUAAUUUUUAUAAGGAAAAACACCAUUUUAUUUCCUUCACUAAGUCAACUGUACGAUGAAAACCCAUCCCUGUGGACGAUCCUAGAGCCACUAUACUAUGUUAGCUAUGCUACCCUAGUGUGAGGUGAUUUAGGUUUUAUAAAUUUUUUUGAUAACACCCAUCUGAGCCAGAAUCAAAUGGCACGACUGAACCAGGGACGAAUCAAAUGACGCCGCUACCAAGGAUGGUGCCAAAGUACAUUGACAUGACUUUUGGUGAACACUUGUGAUCUUCACCACAAGUUUGGUGAUUUUUCUUUUACUAAUUUUUUUUAUUUUAGCUUAUCUUUUAUUUAGUUUUUAGUUAACCUUAAAUUUUUCCUAGAAUUGUAUUUCUUUUGUUUUCUUUGUUUUUGUUUCAGUGAUCUUUAGUUGUGCAUGCCCUAUUGGAUAAGAGAUAUUGAGGGAAUACUUGUGAAGAUUGAAACUCCUCGAGAAACUGAGUUAGAAGUGUGCUUGAACAUCAUGGAUGUUCCACCUGAAGACCAGAAUAGCCAACAUGGUUAAGAGGAUAAUUUCAACACAUACCGAUCCAUGAGGAACCGCAUACAUCCACCUUGUAUGAGUGCACCGUCAGGCAUAAUGCCUCCCACUGAGCAGCUAGUAAUCUGACCUCACAUUGUGCCACUCCUACCUACUUUCCAUGGGAUGGAGAGUGAGAAUCCCUACUCGCAUAUUAAGGAAUUCGAGGAGGUUUGUAAUACAUUCCAAGAAGGAGGAGCUUCAAUUGACUUGAUGAGGCUCAAGCUAUUUCCUUUCACUUUGAAGGAUAAGGCCAAGAUUUGGCUUAAUUCUUUAAGGCCAAGAAGUAUCCAAACUUGGAUUGAUUUGUAAGCCGAGUUUCUUAAGAAGUUCUUCCCUACCCAUAGGACCAAUGGUUUGAAAAGGCAAAAUUUGAACUUCUCAGUUAAAGAGAAUGAGAAAUUCUAUGAGUGUUGGGAGAGCUACAUGGAAGCUAUUAACGUUUGUCCUCACCAUGGCUUUGACACAUGGCUCUUAGUGAGCUAUUUUUACAAUGGUAUGUCUUCUUCAAUGAAGCAACUCCUAGAAACUAUGUGUGGAGGAGACUUCAUGAGUAAGAAUCCGGAGGAAGCCAUGGACUUUUUGAGUUAUGUGGCUGAAGUUUCAAGAGGAUGGGAUGAACCAAAUGCUAGAGAGGUGGGAAGAAUGAAGUCUCAACCUAAUGCUAAGGGUGAGAUGUAUGUUUUGAAUGAAGACAUUGACAUGAAAGCAAAGGUUGCAGCUAUGGCAAGGAGAUUGGAAGAGCUAGAAAUGAAGAACAUACAAAAAGUGCAAGCCAUUUCUGAGACAUCAAUGAAAGCUAUGCCUUGUUCCAUUUGUCAAUCUUAUAAGCACCUAGUGGAGGAGUGUCCUACAAUUCCAGCAGUGAGAGAGAUGUUUGGUGAUCAAGCAAAUGUUAUUGAUCAAUUCAAGCCUAAUAACAAUGCUUCAUAUGGCAACACCUACAAUUCAAAUUGGAGGAACCAUUCAAAUUUCUCUUGGAAACGAAAGCCACCUCAAUACACACAACCUACUCAAGCACCUUAGCAAUCCUCGAAUCUUGAACAAGCUAUUGUGAACCUUAGCAAGGUUGUGGGAGACUUUGUGGGAGAUCAGAAGUCCAUCAAUGCUCAACUGAAUCGGAGAAUUGACAGUGUGGAGAGUACAUUGAACAAAAGGAUGGAUGAGAUGUAAAAUGAUCUGUCUCAAAAGAUAGACAAUGUCCAAUACGUAAUCUCAAGGCUUACCAACCUCAACACAGUGUAAGAGAAAGGAAAGUUUCCUUCUCAACCUCAUCAAAAUCCUAAGGGUAUCCAUGAAGUAGAGGCUCAAGAGGGAGAAUCUUCAAAGGUGAGGGAAGUCAAAGUAGUUAUCACCUUGAAGAGUGGUAAAGAGGUUGAUCAACCCACAUCCAAGCCAAAGCAUAAUGAAGAGAGUGUAGCAGAAAAAGAAAAGAGAGGAAAAUAAAGGAAUUAGAAUAGAGAAAAAUACAAAGAAAGAUGACCAUGAGUCUAGUGUGGAUGAAGAGCCCGAGAGGAUGGUGAUCAAGGAAGAUAUGAUGAAGAAACACAUGCCUCCACCUUUCCCCUAAGCUUUGCAUGACAAAAAAAGAACCAAUAAUACAUCAGAAAAUUUUGAAGUAUUGAGGCAAGUGAAGGUCAAUAUCCCUUUGCUAGACAUGAUCAAACAAGUGUCGACAUAUGAAAAAUUCUUGAAGGACUUGUGCACUGUAAAGAGAGGGUUGAAUGUGAACAAGAAAGCUUUAUUGACCGAGCAAGUGAGUUCCAUCAUACAGUGCAAGUCCUAGUGAAGUACAAAGAUCCGGGUUGCCGUACCAUCUCAGUGAGUAUUGGAAGGACUUGUGUGGAGAAAGCUUUGUUGGACUUGGGAGCAAGUGUGAAUUUGCUAUCCUACUCUGUCUAUAAGCAGUUGGGAUUUGGAGAGUUGAAGCCAAUAUCCAUCACUCUAUCUCUAGCGGAUAGAUCAAUGAAGAUUCCAAGAGGGAUGAUCGAAGAUGUCCUGGUUCAAGUUAACAAAUUCUACUAUCCAGUAGAUUUUGUUGUUCUUGAUAUGGAUCCGGUUGUCAAAUGAACUAAUUAUGUUCCUAUCAUACUUGGAAGACCCUUCCUAGCUACAUCAAAUGCAAUCAUCAAUUGUAGGAAUGGAGUCAUGCAACUCACAUUUGUCAACAUGACAUUAGAGCUCAACAUCUUCCAUUUGUACAAGAAGCAUAUCCAUCAGGAGGAAAAAGAAGGUCUAGAGGAAGUGUGAAUGAUUGACACUUUAGUGGAAGAGCAUUGUGAUCGAGAAUGCAAAAAGAUUUAGUUGAGAAUUUUGGGGAUCUUGAUGAAAGGUUACUUGAACCCUCAGAUUUGCUUGCUACCCUACUCCAUUGGAAGAGAAGAGAAGAAAUUCUACCCUUAUUCAAUGAGGAGGAGACGCAAAGAGCUGCAAAGGAGAAACCCCCAAAACUUAUUCUUAAGCCACUACCCACAGAGUUGAAGUAUGUAUACUUGGAAGAAGACAAGAAGUGCCCUAUUGUUAUAUCUUCAACUCUUACCAUUCAUCAGGAGGAUUGUCUACUUGAAGUCCUUAGAAGAUGUAAGAAGACAAUAAGGUGGCUAAUUUCUUAUUUGAAAGGGAUCAGCCCUUUAGUCUGCACCCAUCAUAUUUACAUGGAGGAUGAAGCUAAGCUAAUUCAUCAACCUCAGAGAAGGUUGAACCCUCACAUGCAAGAGGUGGUUCGAGCUGAAGUUCUGAAGCUACUUCAGACCAGUAUUAUUUACCCCAUAUCAAAUAGCCCAUGGGUGAGUCCUACUCAAGUUGCGCCAAAGAAGUCUGGGAUCAUGGUGGUGCAAAAUGAUAAGGGAGAAGAUGUCUCUACACGCCUCACUACAGGUUGGAGGGUGUGUAUCAAUUACAGGAGGUUGAAUGCAGUGAUAAGAAAGGACCAUUUCUCAUUGCCCUUUAUUGAUCAGGUGCUUGAGAGGGUCUCUGGGCUUUUUUUUUUAUUGUUUCUUGGAUGGCUACUCCGGGUACUUUCAGAUAGAAAUUGAUGUUGAAAACCAAGAUAAGACCAUUUUCACAUGCCCAUUUGGAACCUAUGCAUAAAGGAGAAUGCCUUUCGGCUUAUGCAAUGCACCCGCAACUUUCCAAAGAUGCAUGUUAAGCAUUUUCAGUGAUAUGGUGGAGCGUAUUAUGGAAGUCUUUAUGGAUGAUAUCACCAUUUAUGGAAGUGCAUUUGAUGAAUGCUUGGUCAACUUAGAAGCUGUUCUGAACCGAUACAUUGAGAAAGACUUAGUGCUUAACUGGGAGAAGUGCCAUUUCAUGGUACACCAAGGGAUUGUCCUUGGGCACAUUAUCUCCAAGCAAGGCAUUGAAGUUGACAAAGCAAAGGUUGAACUCAUUGUUAAGUUGCCAUCCUCAACAAAUGUCAAAGGAGUAAGGCAAUUCUUUGGCCAUGUCGGGUUCUAUAGGAGGUUUAUCAAGGAUUUCUCUAAGCUUGCAAGGCCUCUUUGUGAAAUAUUGGUGAAUGAUGUUAAAUUCAUAUGGGAUGAUGGAUUUGAAAGGAGUUUUGAAGAAUUGAAGCUAUUUUUGACAACCGUACCAAUAGUGAGGGCUCCCAACUGGCAACUGCCCUUUGAAGUAAUGUGUGAUGUCAAUGAUUUUGCUAUAGGAUUUUUUCUUGGGCAAAGAGAAAAUGGAAAACCUUAUGUGAUCUACUAUGCGAGGAAGGCAUUGAAUGAGGCACAAAGAAACUACACAACCACCGAGAAAGAAUUGUUAGCUGUAGUUUUUGCCUUGGAUAAGUUUCGCGCUUACUUGGUGGGGUCCUUCAUCAUGGUUUUUACUGAUCACUUUGCUUUGAAGUAUCUGUUGACUAAGCAAGAUGCUAAAGCAAGGCUGAUUAGAUGGAUUCUCUUACUUCAAGAGUUCAAUCUCCAUAUCAAAGAUAAGAAAGGAGUGGAGAAUGUGGUAGCAGACCACAUUUCAAGGCUAGCUAUCGCACAUAAUUCCCAUGCUUUGCCCAUUAAUGACGAUUUUCUAGAGGGGUCUCUCAUGUUGGUGGAAGUUGUCCCUUGGUACGCUCACAUUGCUAACUACCUGGUCACGGGAAAAGUUCCAAGUGAGUGGAAAGCACAAGAUAAGAAGCACUUCUUUGCAAAAAUUCAUGCCUACUAUUGGGAAGAGCCAUUUCUAUUCAAGUAUUGUAUGGAUCAGAUAAUAAGGAAGUGCGUUCCUGAAGAAGAGCAACAGGGGAUCCUUAGUCAUUACCAUGAAAAUGCAUGUGGAGGCCACUUUGCUUAUCAAAAGACAGCCAUGAGGGUGUUGCAAUCGGGUUUCUGUUGGCCAUCACUUUUCAAAGAUGCCCACACCAUGUGCAAGAGUUGUGAUCGAUGCCAGAGGCUUGGGAAGUUGACACGCAGGAACAUGAUGCCUUUGAACCCCACUUUAAUAGUUGAUAUUUUUUAUGUUUGGGGCACUAACUUCAUGGGACCUUUCCCUAUGUCUUUUGGCUACUCUUACAUCUUGGUAGGAGUAGAUUAUGUUUCUAAGUGGGUUGAGGCAGUCCCAUGCAAACACAAUGACCAUAGAGUGGUUCUCAAGUUUCUUAAAGAGAAUAUCUUCUCAAGAUUUGGGGUGCCCAAAGCCAUAAUUAGUGAUGGGGGUACUCAUUUUUGCAACAAGCCUUUUGAAACUCUCCUAGCCAAGUAUGGGGUGAAGCAUAAGGUAGCUACACCUUACCACCCUCAAACUCAUGGACAAGUUGAGUUAGCAAACAGGGAGAUUAAAAACAUAUUGAUGAAGGUGGUGAACACAAACAGAAAAGAUUGGUCAGUCAAGCUUCUUAAUUCACUAUGGGCAUAUAGAACAACUUACAAGACCAUUCUCGGGAUGUCUCCUUAUCGCCUAGUUUAUGGCAAAGCAUGCCAUCUCCCUGUGGAAUUGGAAUACAAAGCUUGGUGGGCAAUCAAGAAGCUCAACAUGGAUUUGAGCAGAGCUGGGUUGAAGAGGUUCUUAGACCUUAAUGAGAUGGAGAAAUUGAGAAAUGAUGCCUACAUCAAUUCAAAAAUUGCAAAAGAAAAAUUGAAGAGGUGGCAUGAUCAGUUGAUUUCCCGCAAGGAUUUUCAAAAUGGACAAAGAGUCUUACUUUAUGACUCUAAACUCCACAUCUUUCCGGGCAAGCUGAAAUCAAGGUGGAUAGGUCAUUUUACCAUUCACCAAGUGCAUUCAAAUGGAGUAGUGGAACUACUCAACUCCAACAAUAUCGAGAACUUCAAAGUGAAUGGCCACCGUCUCAAGCCCUUUGUGGAGUCUUUUUCUCACAACAAGGAGAAAUUCAUCCUCCUUGAUCCACAUCAAGCUUAACAAGACCAAUUUUCUUGAUGGACUUAGUCUUUCUAAAGACUAUCGAGUCCAUAACUUUUUGUUUUAUUUUUUAUUUGAGAUUUUUUCGGUAUUGUUACUUGUUUUGUUUUUUAUUUUUCGUUUUAAUUUUAUUUGGUUUGAUUUAACUUAGGUUUUUGAUGAUCAAUUACAGGGGGGAUUUCAAAUAGAGGAAAAACCAAGAUAAUUCGCACACCCUACGAAAAUUUCGCAAGGCAUGCGAAAUUUAUGGCUUAUUUUGCAUGGGGUGAAAAUUUUCGUACAUCUUACGAACCAAUUUCGAACACUUUGCGAAAAUAAACCAACCCUGCGAAAUCAUUUCGAUUACUCUACGAAAUUUUCGUAGAGCAUGCGAAAAAUUUAGCACACCAAACACCAUUUCGCAUACUAUGCAAAAACCUAAGGGGUCUGCGAAACCAUUUCGCACCUCCAAAUCCAUUUCGCACAUUGUGCGAAAACCAAGAGGCGCUGUGCGAAAAUGAAAAGUCGCCCUGUCAUCCCUUUUUAAACCCCUCGAGCCCUAAAAUCUCCAUUUCGCAAGCACCCCUGUCCUUGCGAAUCCCUCAUUUUCCUCUACUACCUUGCAACCUCGUCCCUUUCCAUUUGAUAUUGUGCCCCGCGCACAUCUCAUUUCAGAGACUCGCACUCCGCGCCCCCUCAAAGCAUGGACUCGAGACCCACCUUCCAUUUCCGACGUGGCACGGACCCAAGGAGCCCUUUCUGCCCCUUCACUAAGACACACACCAAGGCAGAAAGCCUCCUUUGCUCAAGUGCCUAGUGAUUCUCCAUCUUAGGCCUCAGAGGCCUCGGAGGCCCCGUGGAUUCCACCUUCCGAGGGUAGAGCAGCCAUUGGUCCUUCCUCUUCUACUCCUUAGCGUAGAUACGAGACGAGGAGACCACCUACUACACAAGGGGCGACUACUUCGAGCCUUGAGAAUUCAGUACGAUGCCUUCCUGCCAAGAGGGUCAAGACUUCAGGUCCAAGUGAGUCAUCCAGAGCUUCAUAGCCUAAGCCUCCUGUAGAUUCCAAGGUUCCUACUGACAUAUCACCGGAGUCUAUUAUCAGAAGCCCGAUGCUCAUAGCACCGCCCAUUGAGGGCAACUCAGAUUAUAGAGCGAGAUCUUUCCACUUGGAGCUAUAUUUUGAUCAGGAGGCCAUACGACAGCAGCCUGAGCUCCGAGACUCUUAUGGCUUACUGCAGAGGUACCAUCUUGAGGAACUUAUGACUCCUCGUGAGUUUUUUUAUCCCAGAGUAGCACUAAACUUUUACCAGUCCAUGACUACUCGUGGCGUCCCGAGUCCUACCACGAUUCACUUCACCAUUGAUAGACGUCAUGGUAUCCUCAAGGCCAGACAUAUUACAGAGGCUCUACAAAUUCCUUUCGAGCUAGAGGAUCCAUCUGUUUUUCGCUAAUGGUCCCCAGUAUCUCAGAGGGACAUGGUCCGUAUUUUAUCUAGGGGAACAUCUACAGAUUCGAUCUUUCUACGGAAGGAGCUUCGACCUGGGAUGCUCCUCUUAGAUGUGGUGCUAUGCUCCAACCUCUUUCCCUUACAACAUUCGGUACAUAGGUGAUGAGCUAUUUUGGACGCUUUAUUCCGUAUAUCAGAGGGCUUCUACUUUGGCCCGCACCACUUGAUCAUGGUCUCCCUCAUCCACUUUGAGGAGAAGGUUCAUAGGAAGAAGCUUCAGAGGGUGGACACCAUUCCAUUACUAUUCCUGAGGUUACUUUGCCAGGUCUUGGAGUACAUGGGCUUUCCUACUGAGCCUCGGCUCGAGCUUUGCCGCCUUUGUCGAGAGUGAUCCACUCUCGACAAAUGGAAUUAGUUGGCGGGCUAUUCUGCACCUCCAGGAGCCCCUCCCAUGGUAGCACCUCCAAUGUCCCCACAGGCAAAGUAGGGCGAGCUCCCGGCAAAGACUGUACCACCAAUGCCCACACUUGAGGCUAUUUCUGCUGCUCUGCCUAUGACUCCUACUGUUCCACCAGUUGGUCCUUUUACAUCCGAGCCUUCCAUCACCAUCUCGGCUUCGGAGUUUCGCGCCCUUGUGCAUACCUUUCAGACACUCACCACCACACAUACUCCUCUCUUCUAGCAAAUGGUUGAGAUGUGUGCCCAUCAGGACCGGAAGACUACUAUACUCUGCCAAAUUCAGCAGCACCUAAGACUUUUGCCUCAACCUCAACCUAACCAUCCCAUAUCAUCAGAGCCUCUAGCUCCAACUGAGGAUACUAUUCCACCUGAGAACACUACCACAGUAGAGGUCCGGUUUCCACCACCUUAAGAGGCCACCACAGCUACAUCAGAGGAUGUGUCAUCUCCACUUGAGGCUCCCACUACUUGAUCAUAGGACAUAUCUUUAUCUUAUUGUAUUUACAUAUUAUAUUACUAGAGAUUUGUCCUUGUUUUGAUACUUUAUAUUCUGGGAUUGGAUGUAUUGCCUGAUGAUAUCUCAAUUGUACUUUCUCAUAUUAAUAUAUAGACAUCAAUUUUUUUUAGUAUACUUAGCAUUUUUCUAUUUCCUCUACUCAUUACUCUUUUGUUUUUUUUUACUCAUGUGGUUUCUCUUAUACAACUCAGACUCCAUUUCACUCAGGAGGUACCACUUCCUCCCUUUAUUUUCAAUUGCUCUUGAAAUAUUGAGUGCAAUGUUGAUCUUGGUUGGGGGGAGAGUUGAGGAAGGAAGUUUUGUUAAUAAUGCUAGGUUAAUUUGUUAAUUUAGUUACUUUCUGCUUAAUUUUAAAAGUUUUCACUCUACUUUCCAUGGUUAUUAAGGAAAAAUUCUCAAAAUGAAAUGGGAGAAAUCGAAUUCUUGCAUUUUUACUUGAAUCUUAGAAUUUGUAUCAUGCUUAUUAAAGUUGAUGAAUUAUUGAAACUCCUAUUGAAUUCAACCUUAUUUUUUCCACUUUAAUCUUACCACACACGGUGCACAUUAGGUUCCAGUUAUAAGAUAAAAAACUAUCUCACCCCCUAAACUUAGAAAAAUUUACACUUGGUACCUUUGACAUCGUUUUAAUAGUGUUGGGACACCUUAUAAAAGGCCAAUGAGCCUUUAAAAAAAAAAAAAAAAAAAAAAAGAGAAAGAACAAAGUAUUGCACUUGCCUUGAAACCUGAGCAAGAUCCGAGGGGUAUACAGUGAAAGUCUUUAAAACCUGGUGCCCUAAGCCUUGAUUGGUUGGGAGUCACCGACCUCAAUGCUCGUUAUAAGGGUGAAUAGGUGGAGUUUAACAUAUUGUAGGUGCUUGGGUAUUGAAUUUCAAUCUCAAAAGUCCGGGAAAAAAUCUAAGGAGUUAGUGGUCAAAAGAUCCUUAAAGCUUGAUGCCCUAAACCUUGAUUGGUUGAGAGUCAUUGAUGGAUCCCCGCUACAUGGACAUUUUAGAAAACAAUACCUUUAGCAUUGCACGCCUACAAUGAAAAAAAAAUGUGAAAUAAAAGAGGUGCGUUCUUAGCCUAUUGGAGGUUGGUCAGUUUGCUAAAGUUUGAGAAAUCUAGGUUGGGGGGAGAGAAUAGUCCGACAUACUAUAAUAAAAAACUAAUAACCUUAACACUUAGAUUUUUGUGGAAGAGUAAGGAUUGGACCUUUAGGGGUGGAAAUUCUUUUGAUGCUUAAAUUUGCAUAAUGCCUACUCUUUAUAAAUUAUGAUUAGGCAAGAGAUUUGAUGACUCUUGUUCAAAGUUGGGUUUUUCCUCUUUGAUGUUCCAUGAGAGAGUAUAAUCCUCAUCAUGCCACUUGAAAUCUUUUUGGAGUGAUUAACAUGAUUUUGUAAAUUAUUUUACUGUCUAUUUUUCUUUAUCUCUCUUUUAUUGCUAAUGGACUAGCAAUAUGUCAGUUGGGGGGAGUGAUUACUACUCAAAAAGUACUCUUUUAUAGCUUGAAACUAACUGUUUUAAACACUUUUGAGUAGGUGUUAAUACAUUUUAACUCAAUUGGCACAUUAAGGAACCUAACAAGGGUUACUAAUAAGUUUUUGGCAAGUUUUGGUGUUUUUGGUAGCUAUUUGAUCAUUGAAACAAGCCAAGAAUGAGGGAGAAUUUUGUGAAGUCCAUAGCAAUGCAAGUUAAAGCUCAAAUACAUGAAGAAUCCAAGCUUUGAAGCACUUCAUAGCCCUUUGCGAAGCCAAUCAGAGAUGCAAGGAAGAAAACCAGAGGAAAAAAUCCAACAACCAGCAUUUUCGCAUGGCUGUGCGAAAUUUUGCACACCAUGCGAAACCACAAGAAGUAGCCAAAGAAUUUUGCACACCAUGCGAAAUUUCGCAUGGUAUACGAAAUCUUCCUAUGCACCAACUCCGUUAUAUUUUUAUCUUCAGAUAUUUUGUGUAAUUUCCUAGUUUCUCCUUGUAACCAACCUAGAUAUUUUCUUUUAUAUCUUUUUUUUAUAUUUUUUAGGUAACAUCAUAUAUAGGGGGAGAGACAUAAGGAGGAUAUGGAUGUUUUUCAUAAAACACUUUUAAUUUUCUGGUAGUAAGAAAUAUACAAAGUUUUUUGCUCUGCCUUACCUUCUCAUUUUGUUUUCACCUAUCUUUCUAGCCAAACAACCUCUGAGAAUGAUUUCUCAGGGGAUGAGUAGUUAGGUUUUACGUUUCUUGGAGUGAGAGAAGCUAGGUGAAAGACCCAAAUGCUAAGGUGGGAGUUGUCCUUGCUUUAAAUGAAAGUAGUUGUUAAAUAUUAAUGGUUUUUAUUUUAAGGUUUAGCUUUAAAUCCCUUAAAAACACCUUGAAUGGCCAAUACUUGGUAAGCUUUUCGGAUUCUAUGGAUGCUUAUUGCUAGAUCCAUGGAUGUCAUUAGUUAUCAUUUAUGAGCCAUUGGAAGGUGGUUCAAGAUGAGAGUCUUUAGUGUUUGAAGCCAUUAAUGGGAAACAAUUACCAUUUUUUCAUGAAUCCUUUGGAUAAAAUCUUAAUUGCUAAAUAUAAAACUGGUUCGGGAGAUAACCAUCCUUUAUGUUAUUAUGCCCAAUGCAAGGAGAAGAUUUCGAAUCUUCUCAUUUGUCUAAGGAACCCGAUCCUAGUGACCUAAAGCUCCUAGAGACCUUUUCUUUGUAGUUAACUUCAUUUAUUGUUUUUGCUUAACUUAAAAUCAAUCUUUGCAACCACAAUUCCAUUUUCUUUAAAAGCUAAUUUUUAUAAGGAAAAGCACCAUUUUAUUUCCUUCACUAAGUCAACUGUAUGAUGAAAACCCAUCCCUGUGGACGAUCUUAGAGCCACUAUACUAUGUUAUCUAUGCUAUCCUAGUGUGAGGUGAUUUAGGUUUUAUAAAUUUUGUUGAUAACACCCGUCUGAGCCAGAAUCAAAUGGAACCACUGAACCAGGGACAAAUCAACAGCCUAUAUGGGAGGGACACAAGUUUAAUUGAUUUGCAUUUCAGCGUUAUAGAUAAGUAUGUUUUGGAAGAUUUGUUCUGGAAAUACUGCACCAAGUACGAUUCUUUUUCUCUUGAGUGAGUCCAUUUGCAUGCCAAUUAACGAGUUGAAAAGUAGGAGCACCUACCUCGUGCUCAUGGAACCGAAUGUCAGUGAAGUGGGGCUCCUUUUAGCCUCUUGUGUUUCUGUUCCAACCAAGGCGGCGUAGGGAAAAACAACAAUAUGUCUGUGCUAAAUAUCAACGCAUGAUAGAUGUUUUUUUUUUUUUUUUUGGUAUGUCAAGGCUAACGAAUGAAAUGCAUUAGCUUGUUUUGUGACUAUAACUGCAAAUGUCCAAAUUGGAGUAUCUCCAUUUCUCACUUCGGAUGGUUAACUUUAUAAACAAGAUAUAGGAAACAUGUGAACAUCUUGAGGAACAAUUCAAAUUAUUCAUUAGAAGUCCUGGGUUAAGUUCCAAGAUUUAAAUCAGACCCUUCUAGCAGCUUCAAGGGUACUUAGCAACCUAUAACAUAUUAAUGAAGAUUUAGGAUUUAGACUCCGGAAUACAAAUAAAUAUGUAUCUCAUGCUUUGACUAGCUUCCCUACAUAUGCAUAAAAUGGAGAUGACCCAAAAAAAAUAGCAGAAUCUAGCUUCCCUACAUAUGCACAAAAUGGAGAUGACCCAAAAAAUAGCAUAAUCGCCUUAGUUUCUGUGGUUAAGGUGAUUCUCCGCUUAAUAUCCACAUUGACUCAUUAUGCAAAAUCAACUGAGCUAAUUUUAUUUAUUUAUUUAAUGUCAAAUAGGAACUCCUAAUUAACUGAUUACUGUCGAAAAGUGCUAUUUUGUAGACCUAAUUAUAAGGGUUUUAAGCACCUUUGAGUAGUAAUCAUAUUCAUUUAACCUAAUUAAUUCAUUAAGCUCCUUAGUAAUUAGUUCUAACCAUUUUUAGUGGCAAGUUUACAUGUUUUUCAUCAGCUUAUGAACCAAUUCAAGCAUGCCAAUUGAUGGAGGAGCUACUUGGGCGAGUUAAGCAAGGAUUUUGGACGUUUACAGGCUUGAAUUUCAAGUGGAAACACGAGCACAAGCAAUGGGAACACCAUUUCGCAAGGGGAGGCAAUUCACCUUGCCAAAUGACCAAUUUCGCAAGGGGAUUUUCCUCAUGGUGCAAAAUUUGGUCAUUUCGCACCAUGAAGAAACCACCUUGCAAAAUUUCGCAAGGUGGAUUUAGGCACCUUGCGAAAUGCCAAAUUUCACAAGGUGGCUUUUCACCUUGCGAAAUUUGGACCUUUCAUCUUCCCCCCUUGCGAAAUGCCUUUGAAAUCCCCUGUUUUGAGACGCUGUUGAUGAUAUUCCACUGCCGGUUCUCCAAGAUAUUUUGCUUGACUUUUAGCUUUAUAAAUACCUAUUUUACCCUUGUAAUCAACCAAUGAAAAGGUUGCUUUUGUAAUAGCUCUUGUAAUUUAGCUUUUUAUUGUCUUUAAAUAGAGGUGAAGAGCCUCAGACACGAUCAUCUUGUAACCUGUAACUUUAUAAGUUAUAAGAGCACUUUUGUUCAUACGCUUCUUUUCUCUUUUCUUUCUCAUUUUCUUAGUAGCCAAACAUCCUUGGAGGAUGAAAUCCCCAAGGAUGAGAGGCUAAAACCUUUUAGUUUCUUGAAGUAAUGGAUGCCAUGUGAAGCUCCCGUGUCAGGAUGGAGAUUUCCAAGCCAUAAAUGUAAGUAGCUGAGCGUCAUAAAUGUUUUCAUUCAAAGUAAAGCUUUUAAUCCCUCUGACUUGCUUUGAAUGGCCAAUACUUGAUAACCUUUUGGUCUCAAUGGAUUCUUAUUGUUAGAUCCACUGACGUUCAUUAGUUAUCUCCUACGAGCCAUUGUAUUGCAAGUCGAGGAGAUGACCUAUACCAAUAAAAGAGCAUUUAUGAGGUUCAACUACCCUUUUUGUAAGUUUUCAAGGACUAAAACUCAGUUGUUAAACUCAUACCGGUUCGAGAAGUAAGCAUCACCUUAGUUGCUUCCCCAACUCGAGGUGAAAAGUCCCAAAAUCUCCAUUUUUACACAGUGAGUUAAGCAUGGCUAUCCAAAGCUUUAAGAAACUUCUUUUUCCAUCUUUUAACCUAUUUUCAUGUUAGUUUAGUUUACAACACCUUCAUCUUUUUAUGUUUUCAUCUUAACCUAAUUUUUAUUAAGAAAAGUUCACUCCAUCCUCCGAACUUCACCAGUUAAAGUAAAAACCCUUCCCAGUGUUCGAUCCUAGAGCCACUAUGCUAUAGUAGCUUUGCUACUUUAGUGUAAGGACCUUAGGUAUAAAUUUUGUUGAUACCCUUACAUGCCAAGCUACCAAGAGUCGGGUUAUCAUUAACCUAACCAUUGGCCUGUGUAAAUUGAUUUCACAUGCACAAUGUUGUAGUAGAAGUCCAUAUUUUGAAUUUUAUUUUUGUAAAGGUAAGGAAAAUGAAGCAUUGUGUAAUUAUAAAAAUAACUUCAUUGGAAUUCACAAGGUUCACCCAAAAUGGAGCUACAUCUGUAUUCUAUCCUACAGUAGACUAUAUAGAUUGUACAAUAGUAAAUUGCAAAUACAAUUAAUAAGUCUUGUGCUUCCUUACUAAUAAUCCUUUGACAUGAACAUUGCAGCACUAAGGUCCUCUUGGGAAGACACCUUGCACCCAUGAGAGCACUAAGAGGAAGCAAGGCAGAGUCAUGGGUGCAAUGUCAUGACUUGUUGUUGCACCAAGAGAGGCUUGGUGAUGCCAUGGUGUUGCAGUAGCAAGAAUGUUGCCUUGGCAGGGACACGAUCUAGGGAUAGAUGCCAAGAAAGGCUUAGCACUCACAUGAGUUGCACAAAGAUGAAUGUAAUAGAGCAUCAGAGAGACGUCUUGGCAAGUAAAUGAAUGGAUCCAAGAGACAACAACAUGAGGAGUUUCAAAUGGAUAAGGAAUGACUCAAAGACAUUUGAAAGCUACAAGUUGGAUUCUAAUUACGAUUGCAAUUUGAGUUUGAGUAGGAGUUUAGAUUUUGAUUGUAAUUGUAGUAUGAGUUGGACUAGGAUUGCUUAUCCUUAGUCAAUAUAGGAGCGGUUCGUGUCACCCUAUGAAAAGAGUUUGAGUAGGGACUAGGAUUGCUUACUCCUAGUCAAAUAUGGAGUAGGUGGUGCCACACCUAUAAAAAAAAGGGACAACAUGAGAGAGAGAGAGAGAGAGAAAGAGAGAGUGAAUUCACUAAAGAUAUUGUGGGAGUUUUGCUUUGUUACGUCUUGUAUUAUUACUUAGAAUAGGAAUAAAAUACAAGUUGGGGCUAGAGCCCCAUAAUUAAUCUCGUGUGCCUUUGUGGUUAUUCUUUAUUUGUCAUCUCGUGUGGAUUGGAUUAGGUUGACUUAGAGGGCUUCUAAGCACCACCUUUGUGGGUUAUUAUUUAUUUUCCAUCUCUUGUGGAUUAGAUUAGGUUGACUUAGAGGGCUUCUGAGCACCACCUUUGUGGGUUAUUAUUUAUUUUCCAUCUAUUGUGGAUUAGAUUAGGUUGACUUAGAGGGCUUUUAAGCACCACAUUUGUGGGUUAUUCUUUAUUUUCCAUAUCGUGUGGGUUGGAUUAGGUUGACAAGGAGAAAAAUUAUGUGGGAAAUUUGUGUUGGGACACUUACCAUAACCAAGUAAAAUCUACCAAGUCCUUUGUAAUAUCUUCAACAAAUAUUUUAGACUAGUUCUUUCAGUUAGUGUAAAGGAGGAAGAAGUGGUAUUGAUUCUAGAAAUAGGGUGUGUGUAUUUGAACUACAAUCCUUAUGAUCCUUAGGUCUCUAAACCUUCGUGAUGGGCUCCCUGACAUUUCAUAGGUUGUGCUACACAUGCGUUUGAAAUUUAGAGUGCGUUUGACAGUGAUUCCGGGAAGUGUUUUUGGCCUUUCUUACACUUGAAAAUUUUUAUUUUUCAAGUAUUAGAAAUGCUACAAACACUUUUGAAAAUUACUGUCAAACACACUCUUAGGAGCGCACAUAUAUAGUAGAAAACUAGAAAUUGUGGUUUUUUUAGGAUUUACUGUAAUGUCAUUAGGAGGGUAGUAAGUUGAAAUUGAGUAUGAACAAAUAUUUCUUUCUUUGGGAUGUUCUUCUAGUAGGUGCUGAUGAAACUGUUCUUUCUACUGCCAAUGUCACAUAUCAGCCAGAAAUUGAAAAUUUCAGUCAAGGUGUCCUCUGUUUUAGUGGUGAGGAAAGCUAGAAAUUUUAAGGUGAAGUUUUGUUAAAAACCUUAAGUAGCUGGGAUAUCAGGCCUGUUUUGCUUGAAAAAAAAAGUUGCAAGAUAACUCAUAUGCCAAACAGGUUCUGAUAUUGUGAAUCUAUCGGCAGACAUCAGUAAUCUCAUCUUCUGAGAUGGAUGUUGGGGGUGCAUGUGGUGGUGGAGGGGCAAGGUUUCAUUUGGUUUAUUUUGUUGAUGGAUAUUGUCUAGCCACCUGCGCCAAGUUUGAGGGGUGGUGGGUUGUGAUGACCCUACAAUUACUAUUAAUUUCUUCAUCUUUUACCGAUUAAAGUGUCCGAACAGUCGAAGUUACCCUUAUGCAUGUCAACUUGAUCACUUACCUCUUCAAUGGAGUUUAUGCUGGUUCAUUUAGGAACUGAUUUUUAUUGUUAUGUAUUAUAUGCUGAUGUUUAGGUCUCUCCAUCAUCACUAUAUACAAAAAUUCUAGGUUGAUACUAUAGGUUGAGAUUUAUUUUUUAAAUAAAAAAUAAUAAAAAUAAAAAUUAUGGUGAUGUUUAGUUGUUUUAUGGAAAAUUUUAACAAGUAAAAGUUAUUUUUGGGCAAGUUUUCAAACAAAAAGAAAAGUAAAAGUUGUUUUGACAAAAACAUAUAGAAAAAAAAAUCAUAGAAAAUAAAUAAUUUCCCCAUAUUCUAACUUUUUUGAAUUUUUCUCAAUGGGCAAAGGAAUAUCAAAUCAAGUUUGAGUAGGAUUUCUUAAUUUUUAAAAUAACUUACAAUUAAAAAAUUUUGGUGUUUUCAUUUUUGGACAAUUUUUUAUUAAGCAAAUGGACUCUGAGUCAUGCAAGAGAUAUGGUUCAUUAACCGGUCGAACAAUUUUUUUAAAUUAAUUUAAAAGUCAAAUACAUAAUCAAUUUCACAAAAUUUAUAAACAAAAAUAGGUUUAGAGAAGAUCUACACAUAAUUUUACUUUUCUAAUUUUAUUUUAUUUUAUUUUUUGUUGGAAAAUAGUCUUCAAAUCAUGUAAGAUUUAAUAGGUUAAAUUUGUUAACAAUAAAUUUUAAAUUAUAAAAUAUAAUCUGGAACUCAAAAAUCAAUUCAAGUAAUGCUAAAAAAAAAUCAAAUUUGGUAUAGAAUGACUUUGUAAAUUUUUUUACAAAACAAAUGAAUUUUAAAUCAAGUGAGAUUUAAUGCAUUAGAUUUUUAUCAAAUAUAGUAAUUUUAAAAAUAAAUUUGGAACUCAACAAUAGACACAAUAAAUACCAAAAAAUAAUGAACCAAAAUUGGUUUGGAAUAACUCCACAACCUUUUUUUUUUUUUUUUGGUGCACACGAAUUUUCUUACUAGGUAUAUUGCUUUCAAAUUGAGAAAGAUUUACCAUUUAGAUUUUUUUUUAAUGAGUUUAAUGGUAUUUUAAAAUAAUUCAAAAUUUAAAAAAUUGACUAAUUAAUAUUAUAAAUUGAUAAACCAAGACUAUUUCAAAAUGCAUUGGGGGCUAAGGGGGUUGAAAAUAGGGACAAUGGGAUGGGUUUGGGACAUGACACUCAUAUCUCAUUUCCAUUCCAAUUACACAGUUAUCUCCCAUCCUUAUCCCAAACUUGUGUUGGAGCAAGUUGAUUUGUUCCCAUCUUUGUUGACGAAAUGACUAAUAACCUCAUCCCCUCCUUAUCUUAGAUGUACAUUUUGUCAAAUUUGAUCAGGUAUGAUUGAUCCAAGCCCUAACCCUAAUUGGUAAUGAGUGAAUACUACACCUAAUUGCAUUCUUCUUUCAUUGCAAAAUAAUGAGAUUAUAAUAAUCUAGCAAAUAAGAAAAAAUAGUAUGGAAGUUCAAAUUAACACCAUAACUAUCAAUAAUUUUAAGCUUAUAGAUGACUUAAAUGAUUAAAAACUAAUGCAAAAUCCUAAAAAAAAUAAAAAUCAUAUAAAGAAUUCACAAGAGAACAGAAUGAACAAAAACCAAAUAUGAACAUGGGUCAACAUUAGUUAUGGAUUUGGAUUCCUUUCAAGGCCAAUCUUUGAACCAAGACUUCAUCAAAUCAACUACUUCAAAGGCUUUUGUGUUCUUCUUGGGUUGUGCUCUCAAACAAAGACUUCGAGGUGAUGUUCUAGAUGAUUGAAUUACACAUAUUUAGGGUGGAGAGAUUGGAGAAGCUUGAAGAUGCCAACGAUGGGUACAAUUGAGUGGUCAAUAAGAACAAUGUAGCCUAUGACUAGUUUGAUGUCAUGGUACAAGAGUUUUAGGCAUUGAGGUUAAAGCAAGAGCAACAUGGAAUUGAUUUCGGAGUCUUUCAGUUAGUGUAAAGGAGGAAGAAGUGGUGUUGAUUCUAGAAAUAGGGUUUUAAGUGGUGCGUGAUUACUACUCAAAAAGUGCUAUUUGAUAGCCUUUAAUUAAUCCUUUUUAACACUUUUGAGUAGUAGUUUAGGCCUUUUAACUCAAUUGGCAUGUUAAGGAUCCUUUAAAGCAAUUUUGAUCACUUUGUGCAAGUUUUGGUGUUUUUGUUAGUAUUUUGAUCACCAAAGCAAGUCAAGAAUGAGGAGAACUAUGAGGAAUCAUGGGCAAAGCUUAGAAUUCAAUUGCCAAGAGUGAAUCCGGAUUGCAAGGAGAAAAAGCAAAGAGAAUCUGUCAUGAAGCCUAUUCUUGAUGACAGUCGUAGCAGCCACUUUUGGAGCACUUUCUGAAGUCCAAAUGAUGCAAGCUAUAUACCAUUUCAAAGAUCAGGAAGUCAACAAUCCAAUGCUUCAAACGGUGCGCGAUUCGGAGUUGAAACGAAGAAGUUGCAGCCAUUACAAGCCAGUCACUCUAAAGUGUUGCGGAAUCAGCCUUUUGUUGCGAGAAUUUCGCAGCACUUUUGUACAGUAAGGUGUUUCUCCUUCUGACGAUGCACGAACCAUGCCGCGAGAGGGAAGCUAGGAACUUCAAGAUGGAAGCCAACUUUGCAGCCUGGUGAAGAUAGCUUGGUCUUGCGAAAUAAUUUCGCAGCCCUCUUGGGUGUCUGCGAAAUUUCGCAGGCACCACUUUUUUCCUGCGAAAUGGCUCCGGAAGCCUCCCGAAGCUUGCUACCGACAUUGGGAGAUAUUUUCCAUUAGAUUUUUGUUGUCUAAAUUCCAAAAUACUCCUUGUAAACCACCAAUUACAUGAUUCCUUAGUUUUUAAGUUAGUAAAAAGACCAAAUAUCUAUGUAAUAAUUAGUUUUAUAUUAGUUUGCUAUAAAUACCUCUCGGGAGCAUGUUCUCAGAGAGGAGUUCCUUCUGUAACCAUUUUGGUAAGCAAGUAAAGUCUUUUCUUUCUACUGCCUUACCUUCUCACUUUGUAUUUUCAUUUUAUUUCUAAGUUAUGAAUUCUCUGAGGAGCUUUCCCCAGAGAAUGAGUAACUAAACCUCCAAUUCCUUGGAGCUAAGGUUGCCGGGGAAGGUUCCAAGUGCAAGAAUGCAAAGCUCUGUGGUUUUAGCUAGUAAUGAAGAGGAAGUGAAAUCCUUUAGUGAUUUCAAUGUUUUUAGUUAACUUAAAACACCUUGGAGUCACCUGGGCCAACACUUGGUAAGGCAAGUGAUUUCCAACCGUGGAAAUGCACUAGUUUACCCCUUGCGAGCCUCUGGUAGGUGACUUCAAGGUAGGAUUUUCUGGAAUUACCAACACUUGGUAAGCUUUUGGACUCCUAGGAGACAUCCAUUAGUUAUCUCUUGCGAGUUUGUGAAGGGGAAUCCAAGGUUAAAGAUCACCUUGAAUGGUAAGUGCUCGUGAGAGGCAUGAACCAUUGCAAGUUGUAUCAGUGAGAGAAUUAAAGUGAAAUCUAAUUGAAGGAGUCUCUGUACAUCACCGGUUAGAGAAUUGACUAUAAGUUGAAUCUCUAAUGCGAGGAAAUGAACCAUCUGACCGGAGCUAUGUCUUUUGCAUGAGGAACCACCCCAGUGAACCUAAAUCUCCAAGGAAUGCUUUUCUUCCUAAAUUAUUCCAAACUUCUGUUAAGUUAGUUAGUUUAAGUCUAAACCUUUACCAAUCAAACUUUGUGUUUUAUUUCUUAAGCUAACCGUGAAAUGAAACAAAACCAAUUCACUUGGAAUUGGUAUCCUUGAUUGCUUGCAAAUCAUUCCCAGUGAACGAUCCUUAGAGCCACUAUACUAUAGUAGCUUUGUAUUUGCUACCCUAGUGUAUGGUGUUAUAGGUAUAAAUUUUGUUGAUCACUUCCUCAAUCAAGGAACACCAGCUGAACACAAAUCAGCUGAGACACCAAUUGGGCAUGAGUCAAAUGGCGCCGUUGCCGGGGAAUGAGUGUCAAGAUCAUUGUGAUACCAUUUUUGAGCACUUGUGAUUUUCAUCACAAGUUGGUAAAGUUUCUUUCACUUUACUAAUUUUCAUUCUCUCUUUGUUUAUUUACAAUCUAAGUUUAUCUUUUUAAAAUUUAGUCUAGUUUAAUUUUGCUAUUGUAGCCUUGUUUCUCUUGUUGUCCUCUGUUCUUGUUGUCCUCUGUUUUCAUUUUAGUUGCAGCUGAAUACUAGUUGUGUAUGCCAAAGUGGAUACGAGACAUUGGAGGUAGGCUUAUUAAGUGUGAUACACCUCAGAGAGGAGAAUUGGAAGUAAUCUUGAAUAUCAUGGAGGCUGCACCUGAAGAUCAGCAUAGUCACCAAGGUCGUCAAGACAAUCUCAAUGAAUUCAGAUCAAUGAGGGACCGUAUGCAUCCACCUCGUAUGAGUGCACCAUCAUGUAUAGUGCCCCCUACAGAGCAACUAGUGAUCAGACCAUAUCUUGUUCCACUUCUACCAACUUUCCAUGGGAUGGAAAGUGAGAAUCCGUAUGCACACAUCAAGGAAUUUGAAGAUGUUUGUAAUACAUUCCAAGAGGGAGGAGCUUCAAUUGAUUUGAUGAGGCUUAAGUUAUUUCCUUUUAAUUUAAAGGAUAAGGCCAAAAUUUGGCUUAAUUCUUUAAGGCCAAGGAGUAUCCGCUCUUGGACUGAUUUACAAGCUGAAUUCCUCAAGAAAUUUUUUCCUACUCAUAGAACAAAUGGCUUGAAAAGGCAAAUUUCAAACUUCUCAGCUAAAGAGAAUGAGAAAUUCUAUGAGUGUUGGGAAAGAUACAUGGAAGCUAUAAAUGCUUGUCCUCACCAUGGCUUUGAUACUUGGCUACUGGUGAGUUAUUUUUAUGAUGGUAUGUCCUCCUCAAUGAAGCAACUCCUCGAGAAAAUGUGUGGAGAAGAUUUCAUGAGCAAAAAUCCAGAGGAAGCUAUGGAUUUCUUGAGCUAUGUAGCUGAUGUUUCAAGGGGAUGGGAUGAACCAACUAAAGGAGAAGUGGGAAAGAUGAAGUCUCAGUUGAAUGCUUACAAUGCAAAGGCUGGGAUGUAUACUUUAAAAGAGGAUGAUGACAUGAAAGCAAAGUUGGCAGCUAUGACAAGAAGAUUGGAGGAGCUGGAGCUGAAAAGAAUGCAUGAAGUGCAAGCUGUUGCUGAAGCACCAGUGCAAGUGAAGUUGUGUCCCAAUUGUCAAUCGUUUGAACAUUUGGUAGAGGAAUGCCCUGCAAUUUCAGCUGAAAGGGAAAUGUAUAGAGAUCAAGCAAAUGUUGUUGGACAAUUCAGGCCCAAUAACAAUGCUCCUUAUGGAAAUACCUACAAUUCAAGUUGGAGGAAUCAUCCAAAUUUUUCAUGGAAGGCCAGAGCAACUCAAUACCAACAGCCGGAUCCACCAUCUCAACAAUCUUCAAGUAUUGAACAAAUAAUAGCUAAUCUCAGCAAGGUAGUGGGAGAUUUUGUGGGAAAGCAAGAAGCCACCAAUGCUCGAGUGGAUCAAAGAAUGGACAGAGUGGAUCAAAGAAUGGACAGAAUGGAGAGUAUGUUGAACAAAAGAAUGGAUGGAAUGCAAAAUGAUAUGAAUCAAAAAUUUGAUAACAUCCAAUAUUCAAUUUCAAGGCUUACAAAUUUGAAUACACUGCAAGAAAAGGGAAGAUUUCCUUCUCAACCUAACCAAAAUCCCAAAGGUGUCCAUGAAGUGGAAAGCCAUGAGGGAGAAUCAUCACAGGUGAAAGAUGUGAAAGCUUUGAUCACUCUAAGGAGUGGUAAGAAAAUUGAGCAGCCAACACCCAAGCCACAUGUUGAGAAAGAAGAAGAGAUGAAGAAAGGGAAGGAAAUGGAAGAUAAAGGCAGUGAGAUCAGUGAAGAAAAGAAGGACUCUGAUGCAACAAUGAAAGUAAUUCCAGAGAAGGAGCUUCUGAAGGAAGAAAUGCUGAAGAAAUCAACUUUUCCACCUUUUCCUCAAGCAUUACAGGGGAAAAAGGGGGUUAGAAAUGCAGCUGAAAUCCUAGAAGUAUUGAGGCAAGUGAAAGUUAAUAUUCCACUGCUGGAUAUGAUCAAACAAGUUCCAACGUAUGCAAAAUUCCUAAAGGACUUGUGUACUAUCAAAAGAGGGUUGACUGUAAACAAGAAAGCCUUCUUGACUGAGCAAGUAAGUGCAAUCUUACAGUGUAAGUCUCCUUUGAAGUACAAAGACCCUGGAAGUCCUACCAUUUCAGUCAUGAUUGGAGGAAAGGUAGUGGAGAAAGCCUUGCUAGACUUGGGAGCAAGUGUGAAUUUGCUUCCAUAUUCUGUCUACAAGCAACUGGGACUUGGAGAGUUGAAGCCAACAGCAAUCACUUUGUCUCUGGCAGAUAGAUCAGUGAAAAUUCCAAGAGGGGUAAUUGAGGAUGUAUUGGUUCAAGUAGAUAAUUUCUACUAUCCUGUAGAUUUUGUUGUUCUUGAUACAGAUCCUACUGUAAAGGAAGCUAAUUUAGUUCCUAUCAUCCUUGGAAGGCCAUUUCUUGCAACUUCAAAUGCAAUCAUCAACUGUAGAAAUGGGCUUAUGCAACUCACUUUUGGUAACAUGACACUGGAUCUAAAUAUUUUCUAUAUGUCUAAAAAGCAAAUCACUCCAGAAGAAGAAGAGGGUCCAGAAGAGCUAUGUAUUAUUGAUACUUUGGUGGAGGAGCACUGCAAUCAACAUAUGCAAGAUAAGUUGAAUGAAAGUUUUGUGGAUAUUGAGGAAGGUUUUUCUGAAUCUCCUAAUGGGCUUGCUACUCUACAAAGUUGGAGAAAGAUAGAAGGAAUUCUACCUUUGUUCAAUGAAGAAGAGGAGGCAGCUGUUGAAAAAGAAAUUCCAAAACUCAAUCUGAAGCCUUUACCUAUGGAGCUGAAAUAUACAUAUCUUGAAGAAAAUAAUCAAUGUCCUGUCGUAAUAUCUUCAUCUCAAACCAAGUCUCAAGUGAAGGAUGCAAGCUUCAAAUGGGAUCCGGGCAAACUGAAUCAGGAAGGGCAAAAAGUUUUGAUGUAUGACACAAGACUCCAUAUCUUUCCUGGGAAGCUCAAGUCAAGGUGGAUUGGUCCAUUUGUUAUUCACCGAGUAUAUUCCAAUGGAGUGGUGGACUUAUUGAAUUCCAAUGGCAAGGACAGCUUUAGAGUCAAUGGAUAUCGUCUUAAGCCGUUCAUGGAGUCAUUCAAAUCAGAAAAGGAGGCAAUCAACCUCCUUGAACCUCAAAAAGCCUAAGUGAAAUGGGUUUGCUGGACGUGGUUUUACCACAGUCCAAAAAUUUUUGUAAAUUUUGUAAAUUUUCAAGUUGUUUCCAUGCUUUUAAUCUUAGUUUUUGAUUUUAAAUCAUGUUUUUAGGUGUGUUUUAAUCGUUUUAUAUGAUCCCAGGCGGAAGAAAUUUCAAGGGGAUUGAAAAGAAAAAAAUCGGGUCGAAAUUGGAGCCGAAACAGAGCAAAAACAGGGGAAAAACAGAGCUCUGCGAAAUUUCGCAGGGUGAAGGAAACUUCUGCGAAAUUGGCAUUUUGCUGCCAAACCAUUCCGCAGCACUGUAGAAGCCUCUGCGAGUGUAUUUCGCAAUUGCGAAAGUGGAUUUGGCACACGAGUGCCACUUCGCAGCACAGUGACAUCAAUUUCGCAGCUGCGAAACUCACUGCGAAGUUGCUGCGAAAAUGGCAAGUUGCUGCGAAAUUGGCGUUUUGUUGCGAAACGUAAUCUGACCCCUGGGCUUCCGUUUUUCCUAUUUAUACCUGUCAAAAGUGCUGCGAAAAAGGUUUCAAAAAUUAGAGCACCAUUCUCGCAGCCCUUUCAUCUUCUUCGCCAAGCCACGCCGUCCGUUUCUCCGGUCGUCUUCUCCGUUUAGCAGCGCCGGCCAAAGAUCGAUAGCCCAAAAAUGGCACGAACGCGAGGGGCAAAGUCUUCAUCCCCUUCGAACCGCAAAAGGAGUCUGCGAAAGGAGCCAAGUUCAGGCUCUGUUCCAGAACCUGCUCCAAAGCCUUCGCCGUCGAGACCACAACCUUCUCCAGUGAAGCCGGCGCCACCAAAGCCGCCGGCAAGGCGAUAUUUAACCAGGUCAGGUGGUCAGCCAUUGAAGAAGAAAGCCAGAGUUGAGAGCUCUGAACCAAUCGAUUUGACUGAGCAAUCCCCUGAGAAAUCACCAAAUCCUUCACCGGUACAAAUUCCAGUGCCAUCACCGGUUCCCUCGCCAAUUCCCUCACCAGAAGCAACUCCAAUUCCAUCGCCGGUACCAUCUCCGGCACCCCAAGAAAAAGCUCAGGAGCCUCAAGCGCCAAUUCCAGAGCCCCAAAUUGCAGCUGAAGCACCUCUGGAAGAAGUGAUCCGAAGGCCAAUGCUGCCUCAGCCCCCAAUCGAAGGAAACCUGGAUUGCCGAACUCGGGCAUUCCAUUCUGAGCUUUGCUUCGAUUUAACAGCAUUCAGAGUGAGGCCAGAGCUUGCCCAAUCCUUCCAACUGCUGAGGAGAUAUCAUAUGGAGCAUCUGCUAGCUCCAAGGGAUUUUUUCUAUCCCCGGGUAGUCACGGAUUUCUACCAAACCAUGACAACCAAAGAAGUAAGAAAUCCAACUCUGAUUCAUUUCAUAAUUGAUGGAAGGCAUGGUAUUUUGGGAGCAAGACAUAUUGCUGAAGCCCUGCAAAUUCCUUUUGAGCCAACUCAAUUCGACAAUUUUAAAGCUUGGACAAAUCCUACUGAGUUAGAGAUGGUUAGCACACUAACCAGAGGAGCUGCAAAUCGAUCGCAUUUGUUGAGGGGGGAGCUACCUCCAGUUAUGUUUUUGAUUGAUGCCUUUUUGAGGCAUAAUAUCUAUCCCCUGCAGCAUUGGACCCAAAGAAGGGGAAUUCUCCUAGAAGCCUUGUACAAAAUGUCUGAAGGAUUCUUCUUUGGGCCUCAUCAUCUGAUCAUGGCAGCCCUUCUAUACUUUGAGGAGAAGGUUCACAAGAAGAAGCUUCAAAGAGCAGAUUGCAUUCCACUCCUCUUCCCAAGGCUGCUAUGCCAAGUUUUGGAGCAUCUCGGAUACCCCUCUGAGCCUCAGCAGGAAAGAAAGAGAAUAUGCCGUGAGCCUUUUACCCUUGAUAAAUGGAAUAAUAUGACGGCCUACAAAAUUGAUCAGCCUGGGCAGCCUCAGCCAGCAGCAAGGAGAGUCUCCCCAAGACAUAUACCUGAAGGUAUAACACUUGCUACUCCUGCCAUCCCUCGAGCUCCACCAGCUGCACCUGCUCCAUCACAGCCAUCCACAUCAGCUGAGCCGAGGAUGGCCAUCCCUAUAUCCGAAUAUCGAGAGCUGUGCCGUGCAUUGGAGACUCUUACAGCUUCUCAGAGCAAUCUUGCUCAGGAGUUGGCAGCCAUUAAAGCAUGCCAGGAGCAGAUGUUAGCCUCUCAGACUCAACAAGCUGCCAUCCUAAGGCAGCUUCAAGUCCAUUUCGAUCUGCCACAAGCUGUAGAGCCCUCUAUUCCUACUCCACCAGAGCCACACUCUCAGCCUUCAGAGUCUCAUCCUCCAGAACCCGAAGCACCAGCUGAUCCACCUACUGAGGAGGCAGAUCCUUCUGCCUAGCACCAUCACCCCCCUCAUCAGACAUUAUAUAUAUAUUUGCUGUUUAUGUUUUUAUGCAUGUUUGUUUUGUUUUAGUUGAAAAGAAAUCCCAGUAUUUUGGUACUAUAUAUGGGAUUCCUUGUGUUACUUGUCUUUAGUAUUGUAAUCACAUGAACUCAAAGUAAUACAAGUUGACUAUUUCUUGUUAAAAGUUAGCAUUAAAGUUUCCUUAUUUCCUUUUCUCACAUAUUCUAUUCUUUUUGAAACAUGUGGUUUUCCCCAAUCAAUAUUCGAAUUUGAUAUCAGCAUGGAGGUACCACUUCCUCCCUUUUAUUACAGUCACUCAAAUCACAUUGAGGACAAUGCUCAGUUCGGUUGGGGGGUAUGAGGAAGGAAGUAUUCUAAACCUUUUUGGUAUUGCAAUUAUAUUGGUUAAUUAGUUGUAGAUUUUACUUUUUACUAGUGUUACUCUAUUCUCCAUGAAUUUUGAGGAAAAAUUUUCAAAUUAAACCAAGAGAAAUUGAACUGUUGUUUUUCACUUGACUUAGAGUAUGGAUUAUGCUUACUAAAGUGGUUCAAUUGUUGAAACUUCUACUGAAAUUGAAUUGAGUUCUUCCACUUUAAGCUAUCCACACACUGUGCACAUUAGUUUCCGAUUAUAAGAUGAAAAGCUAUUUCCCUCUUGACUUAGUAUAUUUUUGGGACUUGGUAUAUUUGACCUCAUUUGAUAAAAAUUGAAACACCCUGCAAAAGGCCAAUGAGCCUUUGAAAUAAAGAAAGUUGUUUGCUUGCCUUGAAACCCGAGCAAGGUCUGAGGGGUAUAUGGUGAAAAUCUUUAAAGCCUGGUGCCCUAAGCCUUAAUUGGUUGGGAGUCACCGACCUCAAUGCUCGUUACAAGGGUGAAUAGGUAGAGUUAGCAUAUGGUAGAUGCUUGGGUAUUAGAAAUUCAUUCUUAAAAGUCCGGGGAAAAAUCCGAGGAGUUAGUGGUUGAAAGAUCCUUAAAACUUGGUGCCCUAAACCUUAAUUGGUUGGGAGUCAUCGAUGGACCCCCAUUACAUGGACAAGUCAGAAAGAGUACCCCAUAAAGCUACCUUAAAAAAAAAAAAAAAAAAAAAAAAAAAAAAAAAGAUGAAAGUGUGUUCUUUUCUUAUUGAUUUUGGUCAGUUUGCUAAAGUGUUGAAAAGAGAUAGGUUGGGGGGUGAGAUUAGUAGCAUAUUAUUCUCGGAACCUAAGGAACCAAUACACAUAGAUUUUUGUGGAAGAUUGAAGUUUAGUUCUUAGAAAAUGAAAUGAUUUUAAAACUUCAGUUUGCAUAAUGCACUCCCUUGAUUGACAGUGUUUAGCAUAGGUGUUAUGACUCUUGUUGAGAUUUGGGUUUGUAUUUCUUUAAUGAUUCAUGUGAGAAAUAGAUCAUCAUGCCACUUGAGAAUUAUUUUCCUUUUAGCAUGAUGUUGUAAAUUUUAGAUUAGUUUGCUAUUUAUUUUUUAUUUUCUCUCCUAUAUUGCUAAGGGACUAGCAAUAUGUCGGUUGGGGGGAGUGAUUACUACUCAAAAAGUGCUAUUUGAUAGCCUUUAAUUAAUCCUUUUUAACACUUUUGAGUAGUAGUUUAGGCCUUUUAACUCAAUUGGCAUGUUAAGGAUCCUUUAAAGCAAUUUUGAUCACUUUGUGCAAGUUUUGGUGUUUUUGUUAGUAUUUUGAUCACCAAAGCAAGUCAAGAAUGAGGAGAACUAUGAGGAAUCAUGGGCAAAGCUUAGAAUUCAAUUGCCAAGAGUGAAUCCGGAUUGCAAGGAGAAAAAGCAAAGAGAAUCUGUCAUGAAGCCUAUUCUUGAUGACAGUCGUAGCAGCCACUUUUGGAGCACUUUCUGAAGUCCAAAUGAUGCAAGCUAUAUACCAUUUCAAAGCUCAGGAAGUCAACAAUCCAAUGCUUCAAACGGUGCGCGAUUCGGAGUUGAAACGAAGAAGUUGCAGCCAUUACAAGCCAGUCACUCUAAAGUGUUGCGGAAUCAGCCUUUUGUUGCGAGAAUUUCGCAGCACUUUUGUACAGUAAGGUGUUUCUCCUUCUGACGAUGCACGAACCAUGCCGCGAGAGGGAAGCUAGGAACUUCAAGAUGGAAGCCAACUUUGCAGCCUGGUGAAGAUAGCUUGGUCUUGCGAAAUAAUUUCGCAGCCCUCUUGGGUGUCUGCGAAAUUUCGCAGGCACCACUUUUUUCCUGCGAAAUGGCUCCGGAAGCCUCCCGAAGCUUGCUACCGACAUUGGGAGAUAUUUUCCAUUAGAUUUUUGUUGUCUAAAUUCCAAAAUACUCCUUGUAAACCACCAAUUACAUGAUUCCUUAGUUUUUAAGUUAGUAAAAAGACCAAAUAUCUAUGUAAUAAUUAGUUUUAUAUUAGUUUGCUAUAAAUACCUCUCGGGAGCAUGUUCUCAGAGAGGAGUUCCUUCUGUAACCAUUUUGGUAAGCAAGUAAAGUCUUUUCUUUCUACUGCCUUACCUUCUCACUUUGUAUUUUCAUUUUAUUUCUAAGUUAUGAAUUCUCUGAGGAGCUUUCCCCAGAGAAUGAGUAACUAAACCUCCAAUUCCUUGGAGCUAAGGUUGCCGGGGAAGGUUCCAAGUGCAAGAAUGCAAAGCUCUGUGGUUUUAGCUAGUAAUGAAGAGGAAGUGAAAUCCUUUAGUGAUUUCAAUGUUUUUAGUUAACUUAAAACACCUUGGAGUCACCUGGGCCAACACUUGGUAAGGCAAGUGAUUUCCAACCGUGGAAAUGCACUAGUUUACCCCUUGCGAGCCUCUGGUAGGUGACUUCAAGGUAGGAUUUUCUGGAAUUACCAACACUUGGUAAGCUUUUGGACUCCUAGGAGACAUCCAUUAGUUAUCUCUUGCGAGUUUGUGAAGGGGAAUCCAAGGUUAAAGAUCACCUUGAAUGGUAAGUGCUCGUGAGAGGCAUGAACCAUUGCAAGUUGUAUCAGUGAGAGAAUUAAAGUGAAAUCUAAUUGAAGGAGUCUCUGUACAUCACCGGUUAGAGAAUUGACUAUAAGUUGAAUCUCUAAUGCGAGGAAAUGAACCAUCUGACCGGAGCUAUGUCUUUUGCAUGAGGAACCACCCCAGUGAACCUAAAUCUCCAAGGAAUGCUUUUCUUCCUAAAUUAUUCCAAACUUCUGUUAAGUUAGUUAGUUUAAGUCUAAACCUUUACCAAUCAAACUUUGUGUUUUAUUCCUUAAGCUAACCGUGAAAUGAAACAAAACCAAUUCACUUGGAAUUGGUAUCCUUGAUUGCUUGCAAAUCAUUCCCAGUGAACGAUCCUUAGAGCCACUAUACUAUAGUAGCUUUGUAUUUGCUACCCUAGUGUAUGGUGUUAUAGGUAUAAAUUUUGUUGAUCACUUCCUCAAUCAAGGAACACCAGCUGAACACAAAUCAGCUGAGACACCAAUUGGGCAUGAGUCAGUGCGUUAGAGGAUCAAGAAGAAGAAAAAGAAGGAACUGUUGGAAUUAGUAUGAGUGUGAAGAGAAAAGUAUAUAAAUAAGGGGAAGUAAAAGCAAAGUUCAAAAAGCUAUAUUUUUUUAUUGUUGGUGUAUGGUUGCAUGAUUAUCCCUAUAAAUAAUAGGAGUUUUUUGGUAUUCUACUAGUAGUUGAAGCAUAAUUUCAUAAAUUAAUAUUUAGAGCGGGGUGGGGUGAGUUGUGACAAAAUUCAUACCCGUCCCAAACCUUGGUUCAGAUUUUUAAAAUAUUCUCAAACUUAUCAUAUACCCAACUUUUAUAUUUCAUACUUGUCCUAAUAGAGGCACGUUAGGCCGGGUUACUUGAGUAACCUACAUAAUUGUCAUCCCUAGUUGAAAUACACUUUUUGGCAGUGGCCACCAACUGAGCUAGAAGCUUGAUUGAUUGACCUACAAGAUUAGUUCUCAUCAUUUUAAAAAAAGUUCUGGCUUUGGUUGUGAGUGCAAUUGAAUCUAAACUGGCAUUUGCUUAAUGCAUCUACUUCAAUCCUAAACUUCUUACUUCUUAAGCCUCAAUUGUUGUUAGGAUUUUGGAAAACCCAUUUCCUUAAAUUGUAAAUUUAAGAUAAAAUAAAAUAAAAGUGAGACAUUUCUUGAUUGAAUAUUGUUAAAGGUCCCUUGGCAUUAAGACUUGGUUGAAGCCUUGGAAGAUUAGUGGAACUCUCAACAUGUGUUUGAAUCUUGAGGAGAGUGGAUGUAAGCCAAAAUUUUGUCAAACCAUUAUACAAAUUGAGUUUGAAUCCUCAUUUCUUGAUUUCUUAUUUAUUUGCUUUUUCUUAUUAUUACUUGAAUUGUCAUUUGCAUUCAUUAAUGUUAAAAUUGGUUAUAAUUAACCAACACUAAUUCUCUUUCCCCUUCCCUUUCUUGGGUGUAAACCUAGGUUGGAUUAACUAGAUAAAUCUAUUAAGAUGGUAAAAGAAUAAUUAUUCUUAACAUACAUAAGAUCAUCUUCAAUCAAAUGACUCAUUGGCUAAUAUGUUGAAUUUGCUUAUUACUUGCAACUCAAAAUUGUGUUCUAGUUGUGUCAAGUCCCCAGUGUAUGGACAUUAAAUUUGUAGUACGUGAUGAGUAAUUAGAUGGUCCAACUCCAAGAAAGUGAUUGAAAAGUAGUUCAAGAAAGGUGCAAAAGGGAAUUGUUUUGGUAUUUUCGUUUUUAUUCUUGAAGGUGGCAGAGCUAAAAUUUGAGAAAUCAAGCAAAACAUACUGAAAUUACAUUGAAAGAAAGAAGAUGGGAGUUAAUGUCUUGCAGUACAUGAUAAGGACUUCAUGCAUGUAGUGUGACCCAUGUCUUGGACUGAUGCCAACUCACGGUUACACUUAUACCCUUGGUUCUCUCUUUACUACCUUGGCUAACCUAGAUCAGGCUAUGAGAUAGGCUCCUCACCACACCAUUACUUGCCCAUUAAUUAGAGACAUUUUCAAGCAAUGAGGUAACAUGGUGACACCAAGAGGGUCUAUUCCUCGCCCGGAACAAGUCUAGACUUGGUCUCAAAAAAAUGGAGAAAAAUGAGGUGUCGUUAUGUAGAAAUACAACAACCAUGCCUUCCUCAUUACUUAGAUUCAGAAUGUGAAGGUGAAAUUGAGAAACAGAAACUCUUGAAACCAAAAUGAAAAUUGAUACUUUUACGAAGAAUUACAACAACAUUAGAGGAAGACUACAUUCUUCCUCUUUAUUCCUACAUUUCUACACUACUUCUACUCCACUCCAUAUUUCUACAUACAUCUUUAAUCAGUCUUCCCUCCUUUAUAUAGAGCCAUCUUCACACAAAUUUCGCAAGGUAGAAAAGAGGAAUGAAACUUGGAGCAAGGUUCGACUACUGGUUGUAGCUUGUCAAGGCUGGAAGUGAACUUUUCUUGGCUUUCUGGGCAUGGGUAGUAACUUGUGGGUUCCUGUUUGGCAUAAAAAUGGCUAGAACAUGUGGCACUAUCUUGUUGGAUGAUGUGUCAAGCAUGUGGCAGCCAUCUAGUGGCGAUUAUGUCAAUUUUGGGAUGGAGAGUUGGCAUCCAAUUGCAAAGAAAUAUGACGUCUACCAACAUGCAAUGUAAACCUAUGUAGAUCAUAUGAAGAUAGAGAGGAAAAAUAUAGAAAUGGAUAUAUACCUAGAACUAGCUUUUUAUUAAAUGAAACGGAGAGACAACAAUGAAGGAAAAUAAAAUUUUUUGGCUUAUAUCAAAGAGUUCACAUUGUGUUACCCUAGGUUUUCUUAAAACUUACUUUUAUGAUAACAAAAAAGAAAAAACCAUUAUUGUUUAAUCCUUUGUUUUAAACGCAUGUAAGGUGUAAUUAAGUUAGUUCAAUGCAUUAAUUUAAGAAACUUGACCUAUCAAAAGUACAAAAUUAGAUGAAAUCCAUUUCAAUGGUUAAAAUGAUCAAAAUCAAACUUUUUCUAAGUAUUUUUUAAAAGCAUCAAUAGUGAAAGACAAUUUUAUAUUUAGUCGGAGUUUGGACAAAACUGAAAAACACACAAAAUCCAAGCGACCAUCUCUAGCUUGGAUGGUCGCUUGAUCCCACCUAGAGAUGUGCAUGAGUAAAAGGAUUUGAAAAUGGAAAUUGACUAUGUAGUCGAUCAAUUAACUUUGCAACAUCAUAUGCAAUCCUAAUUGCUAGUCAUCUAAUCAAUUAGGUAGUCAAUCAACAGGCCAAAAAUAUGUUUAUAAUGACUAUUUUGUACAAAAACCACCUGUAUAGUUAAAUAUAAUGCAUUUCAUUUAUAAAUCUUCUAAUUCUUGAAUAACGAUCCUAUCAUCCUUUGAAAGUUUUUAUUACACUUUUUUUACUUUUGUUCUAAAACUUACACAUCACCCUUAAUUGUACCAUGAGAACCUAGCUAUUUUUUAUUUUUUUUUUUGUAAUUCAUCAAAGUUAGCUUUUGUAUUCAUUGUUGUAUUAUUUUUAGUAUAACUUAGAAAGCUAGUGUUUUCAAGUGAGUAAAAUUAACUUGUAAAUAUUGUAAAGAUUCAUCGACAUGUAUCUUAAACUAAGUGUACAAGUUAAAACAUUUGCUAGUAGAUUUUCUCAAAAUUUAGAAUAGAGCUUGAGACUAUUGAAAUAGGUGGGGUUGCACCAAACCACAUCACAUCGUUGUUUGCACCUUUUUUCACUCUCUUUUACUUAGUUGCUCUAUAUUUGUUGUCUAGUAAUAUCCUAUAGGCUUGAUGGGUUAGGGAGCAUCCCUUUGUGAAAAAAUUUUAUUCAAUCCUUAGUUGUAUCACGCAUAUAUAAAAUGCCUCAUUGUUUUAAUGGUAUUCAGUCGUGGCAUCACAGAUAUGGGCAUCUAAAUUUUAAAAGUUUGAAACUUUUAUCUAAAGAAAAUAUGGUGCUUUGCCUUUUUGUAAAGCAUGUUGAUGAAAUCCAUGAGAAUUGUGUACUUGGGAAGCAACACCGAGAUGACUUUUUUUUUUUUUUUAUAAUAUUGUUUGUCCAAAUUCCCUACAAAUUAGGCCACCAGAUGUUCAUAAUUCUCCCUUCUUGAAUUUGAAAACUCGGACAAUUGGACAAUGCGACACCUAAGUCCGGUUUCUAAAUGCUAAAGUGAAAGGGUAGGUAUGGACCAUUGAAAUGUGAUCACAACUUUUCUCUGUAGCCAUGUUGUCUCUUUUUUCUUUUGCAUGAUUUUCUUACCUUAACAGAAUCAUAGACUUGUUUAGUCUCUAAAUGGGAUUAAUUUCAUCCAGCUUUAAGCUACUAUAUUAUAUCUAGGUGGAGGACUUUUAAGAGUGCAACCGACAUAGAGCACAUGGAAGUGGGUAUAUGGGACAUGAAAUUUCUUCUUAUAAAGAUUGCAUGAUUUUUAUAUUAGAGUUGUUGAGGCGCUAUGUAUUUAGCUUGUUUUGCAGUUAAAUUAAUUGGAUAAGUAGACAUUGGCGUUUCUAAAUCUACUGUGAAGUGCUUCAUGUACGUGUGAAGUAUUAGAAAUUUCUUUCUUGGCAACUUGUUUUUCUUUGCGGUCUACUGAUAGGUUUGACUAAAAUUAUAUUCCCUGUCAUGCUAAUUAAUUUUCACGUGCAUGCUCAAAAGAAAAGUAUGACCUUAGUGCACCAAAAUCACUUUGAUUAAUUUGUGAUAGGUUUUUGUGCAUCAUGACAUUAGCCUUAUUCAUUUAGAUAAUGUUUAGUUUUUAGAAAGUAUUAAGAAAAGGAAAAUAAAUAUUAAGAAAAAUAUUCUUAUAUUUGAUUGUAUUAUGAAAAAUAUCAUAAAAAAAUCAAAUAUAAUUUAAAUUAAUUAAUAAUUUAUACAUUUUCAAAUUAUUUAAUCUUUAUAUUGAAGAUAUAAUAUAAAUGAAAUGAGUUUUAAGUAUUAUAUAAAAGUGAUUUAUUGAUCUUACAUAUAUAUAUUUCUUUUUUUUUUCCUUCUAUUUUUUCUCUUUAUUUUAUUUUCCUUAUGUUUUCCUCAACAUUUUCCGGAACCAAACAUAGCCUUAGGAAAUCCACAAUUACCUUCAACUGAGUAGAUUCUGUUGUUUUAGCAAUGUUAGGCUGCUAACUUGUGUUGGUACGAACCUAUUAAGCCUAAAGAUGUAAUUAGUUAGGAUAUUCUUUUCCCUCUAGUCUUGUAGCUCCACGUGUACAGUUGGUUAGGACCUCAUUGUAUAUAAUGCUUGCCCUGUUAUUGUAGAAGACAACAAAGAUAAAUAAUAUUAACAUUUUUCCUCUCAUCUCUCUCUGUUUCCCUCUGUUUUCAUCUCCUCUCUCAUCUUGGUAUCAGAGCCUCCAUGGCUUCUUUCAAAGAAACCUCCGAAUCACCUUCUGCUAGCAUUGUUAAUGUGCAAAACCCAUUAUCUCAAUCAAACAACCUUCCUUCACCAGUAGCCACACCCUCUUUUUCUUUCUCGUCUAUGAAUCAACCUCUCACAGUGAAGCUGGAUAAUGGGAACUACCUCAUAUGGAAGAAUUAGCUUCUAAAUGUCAUCAUUGCUAACGGACUCGAUGAUUUCAUUGACGGAUCUCGACCCUGCCCUCCUCGAUUUCUCGAUCUGCAACAACAAACCCUCAAUCCAGAGUACUCAGCUUGGCAGAGAUACAAUCGACUUCUGAUGAGUUGGCUGUACGCAUCCUUGUCCAAAGAUAUAAUGGCUCAGAUUGUUGGGUAUUCAACAGCUAUGGAGAUUUGGAAUGCCCUUAAUCAGAUUUACUCUGCCUCUUCUAUGGCGCGGUUUACUGAGCUUCGCACCAAGCUUCAAACGCUCAAGAAAGAUGGACUCUCAGUUGGUGAAUAUAUUCAAAGGCUCAAAUCCAUUUGCAAUAGUCUUGCAGCAAUAGGAGAACCAGUUUCUGAGAAAGACCAUCUUAUCUAUUUGUUCAAUGGAUUAGAUUGUGAGUAUUAUUCUUUUGUUACCUCCAUUCAAAAUCGAUCUGACCAACCAACUAUUGACAAAAUCCAUAGCCUAUUGCUUAGCUAUGACUUCCGGCUUGAACAACAAAACUCUGUUUCUCUCCAUUCUGCCCAAGUCCAUAUGGCUCAUCUGAACAAGAAACCUUAUAAAUCAACUCCUCAACCUACAUUCAAUCAUAUUCACAUUCAACCUAGAUACUCUUCUCCACCUUUUAAGCCAACCACUAGUCAAUAUCAACCCAACAUUUUGGGCAAACCACAACCACAACCAUGACAGCCUCAACCUCAAUGGAAACCACAUUUUUCAAUCUAAAAUCAAAAGCCUCAGCGCCAAAUUUGUGGUAAAUUUGGACACACUGCUCUUAUUUGCUUCCAUCACACAAAUUUGAACUAUUCACCCCAACCUUCUCCUAAAUCUUUCAAUACUGUUCUCACCACAAAUUCCCAGCUCCCUAAUCCUCCAAAAUUUUCUUACCCUACAAUGGCUCAUCCUGCUGCUACGCAUAACACGGUUCCCGAUACAAAUUGGUACAUGGACUCAGGUGCUACACAUCACUUUACUCUGGACAUCAACGUGCUUGACACUGUGACACCAUUUAGUGGUUCAGAACAGGUGACAGUUGGGAAUGGUAAGCAACUCUGUAUCUCACAUCUUGGUACUGCAAAACUACCAUCUUCGUAUUCUCCUCCUGUUCUACAUCAGGUAUAUCACACUCCAAAAAUUUCAAAUAAUCUUAUUAGUGUUAAAAAAUUGUGUUCUGAUAAUAAAGUUUUUGUUGAAUUUUAUGCCACUCAUUUUCUUGUCAAGGAUCAGGUUUCGAAGAGAGUUCUCCUUUAGGGUCAACUUGAUAAUGGCUUAUACAAAGUUCAGUCGUCAUGCUCUCCUUCUGCUGUUUCCUUUCCUCCUCAAGUUUUCAUAGCCAACAUCAAGUAUCCAAAUCUGUGGCACAAGAGACUAGGCCACCCAGCUUUAUCUGUUGUUAAUCAAAUCUUGGAUUCUUGUAACAUUGCUCGAACACAGAAAAUUUGUUUUAAUUUUUUAAAUUCUUGUCAAUUAGCAAAGAGCCACAGGCUUCCUUUUUCUCUGUCUCCAUCCAUUGCAGAAAAACCUUUUGAGUUAAUUCAUACAGACCUAUGGGGUCUUUCGCUCGUUCGCUCUAUUUCUGGUGCUCUUUAUUUUUUACUUUUCAUUGAUGAUCAUACUCGUUUUACUUGGUUUUAUUUGCUCAAAACAAAAGAUGAAGCAUAUCCUACUUUUCUCAAGUUUCAAGCUCUCAUUGAAAAUCAAUUUAAUACCAAGAUUAAGGCUGUCCAAUCUGAUUGGGGAGGUGAGUUUCGAUCUCUCUCCAUACCGUUUUCAAAUAUGGGCAUUGUCUAUUGUUUAUCGUGUCCAUACACCUCACAACAGAAUGGGCGAGUUGAGCGAAAAAAUCGCCAUGCGAUUGUCCUUUCUUGCUUGCUCUAUGCCCUUAUCUUAUUGGCCUUAUGCCUUUCAAACUGCCACUUACCUUAUUAAUCGUCUCUCUACCCCUGUGCUGCAUCAUCAAUCCUCUUACUUCGCACUCUAUCACAAACUCCCAACUUAUACUCAUCUUAAGGUCUUUGGUUCCUCUUGUUUUCCGUAUUUGCACCCUUAUAAUACCCAUAAACUCCAAUACAGGUCACUAGAGUGUGCUUUUCUUGGUUACAGUUCACACCACAAAGGUUAUCUAUGUCUUGACAUUCAUUCUAGCAGGGUGUAUAUUUCUCGCCAUGUGAUUUUUAAUGAAGAUUCUUUUCCAUUCAAGAAUUUGAAAUCUUCUCUCUCUCAGUCUAUUUCUUCUUCCUCUUCUUUAUAAGUUCCUCUGUUCAUUCUCUUGCCUCCCCUUUCCCCAUCUCCUCUUAUUUCUUCAUCUAUACCUCAUUCUUUUCCCUCUUCUUCUUCUACCUCUAGUACUUGUUCCCCUCUCGUUGCUCCUACCUCUCUUCCUUCCUCUUCACACUCUGUGUCUCCAUCUAUUCCACCUCCUUCUCCACCUUCUCCGAGUGUGGACCUGCUUGCACCUUGUGUGAAUACAAAUUUACAUACUUCUUCUCGCACUCACAAUAUUCAUCCUAUGGUGACUAGAUCUAAGGUUUGUAUCUAUAAACCUAAGUUGUUGUUGAGUGUCUCCAUAGGUUCUCUCACUAAGCCUACUUCCUUUCUUCAAGCUAUUAAAGAUCCUUCAUGGAAGCAAUCCAUGGAAUUCGAGUUUGCUACCCUUCAACACAACAAGACCUGGCAUUUGGUUCCUUCACCUUCCUCAGGCGAAGUAAUCGGUUGUAAAUGGGUCUAUAAGCUAAAGCUUCAGCCUGAUGGCUAAAUUGAGAGAUACAGCCUGCUUAGUAGCUAAGGGUAUCAUCAAAUUGAAGUAUGGACUACUUCGAAACAUUCAGCCUGAUNNNNNNNNNNNNNNNNNNNNNNNNNNNNNNNNNNNNNNNNNNNNNNNNNNNNNNNNNNNNNNNNNNNNNNNNNNNNNNNNNNNNNNNNNNNNNNNNNNNNAGCUUCAGCCUGAUGGCUAAAUUGAGAGAUACAAGGCCUGCUUAGUAGCUAAGGGUUAUCAUCAAAUUGAAGGUAUUGACUACUUCGAAACAUUCAGCCUGAUUGUCAAGCUUUCUACUAUCUGUAUUGUGCUCAGUCUUACUUUUUCCCAGAAUUGGUGUAUUAGACAGCUGGAUGUUCAUAAUGCCUUCUUACAUGGUGACUUAGCUAAAGACGUUUUCAUGGAACAACUGCCUGGAUUUGUUGAUCCUCUCUAUCCUACUCAUGUCUGCAAGUUGGAUAAGUCUCUCUACUGUCUUAAAUAGUCACCUCGGGCUUGGUAUACUAAGCUGAGUACUUCUCGCUACACUUGGGAUUUGUUACUUCUAAGAAUGACUCUUCCUUAUUUAUUUGUCAUUCGUCUCAUGGGUUACUUCUUGUUCUUGUCUAUGUGGAUGAUAUAAUCGUCAUUGGGAGCCACUCUCCUCAGGUUACUCACCUUAUCCAACAGUUGCAUCAUUAGCUUUCUUUAAAGGAUCUUGGUCCUUUACAUUAUUUUCUGGGCUUGGAGGUUCAUCACACCCCUACUGGUAUUCACCUCAGCCAAGCAAAGUAUAUCACUGAUCUCCUUACCCGGGCGGCUAUGUUGGAUGCCAAGCCAUGUCCCACUCCUAUGUCCUCCAACACAUAUCUCUCUUUUCAUGAUGGAGUGGCUCUUGAAAAUGGUUCAGAUUAUCGAAGUUUUGUUGGUGCCCUUUAGUAUUGUACCAUGACACGCCCAGAUAUAGCUUUUGCAAUAAAUAAAGUGUGUCAAUUCAUGCACCAUCCCUCUAAUGUUCACUGGCAGGCUAUAAAACGUAUUCUCCGGUACUUAAAGGGCACAUCUCAUUUUGGUCUCUUCCUACAGCCUUCCUAUGACUUCAACAUCACUUGCUAUACAAAUGCCGACUGGGCUUCCUGUCCUGAUGACAAGUGUAGCACCAGUGGCUACUGCCUCUUUCUUGCCUCUAAUCUGGUUUCUUGGUCAUCUUCCAAACAAAAAGUGGUCUCCCGCUCCAGCGCCGAAUCAGAGUACCGAGGGGUAGCAAAUGGGGCUGCUGAAAUUGCUUGGACUGAAUCUCUUCUUUGUGAACUUUCCAUUACUCCCCCUCCCCUCAUUCUCUGUGACAAUAUCAGUGCCACGUACUUAGCUGCCAAUCCUAUUUUGCAUGCCCGCACCAAACAUGUGGAAAUCGACUAUCACUUUGUCACGGAACGUGUUCUUCAAUGCUCUCUUUUUGUCCAGUUUACACCUUCUGAUGAUCAACUUGCUGAUUGCAUGACCAAGCCUCUCUCCACCCAACGUUUCAUCACUCUACGCUCCAAGCUCACUGUUCUCACUAGACCAAUGAGCUUGAGGGGGGAUGUUAAGCCUAAAGAUGUAAUUAGUUAGGAUAUUCUUUUCCCUCUAGUCUUGUAGCUCCACGUGUACAGUUGGUUAGGACCUCAUUGUAUAUAAUGCCUGCCCUGUUAUUGUAGAAGACAACAGAGAUAAAUAAUAUUAACAUUUUUCCUCUCAUCUCUCUCUCUGUUUCCCUCUGUUUUCAUCUCCUCUCUCAUCUGAACCAAAUGAUCCAUGUUAACCUUGGCUUGGUUUGAUUUGGCUCUAUCUUAGAGAGCUCAAGGAUCACGUCAACUCUGGUUUCUACUAUUCAGGUCCAUUCCCAUAUGAACUGGUUCAAAUUUGAGAAAAUGGUAACAGACCUUUAGUGAUGUUGGUUUGGAGCCAGUUGCCAAACCCGCCCUGAGCUUUACCACUAAUGUCAAGGGAGAAAGCCAUUUGAACAAAAACAAUAGCUUCAAGGGACUGAAUCGUGGAUGAAAUCUGAUCCACAUUUCUUCUCAUUUUGGAAACAAAUGAGAACUUAACUAAGAAGAUUCUACGGCCUCAUAGUGCUUUUCCUGAUCUAAGGUUGGUUCGUUUCCCAAACUGUGAGAUGCACGUGCCAGACUUCAGAACUCUCACGCUCAGGAGUGUAUCCACGUGGUGGACAUAAGAUGGUGGCUUAAGAUCUGGUGUCGGUGGCUUUACUUUACUAGGAGAGUAGUGUGUCUUCAUCUCAUUCACUGCCGGAGGGUGGCGUAAGCAGUGACGCUAAGGUGGGGCACAGUCAAUAUCAUUUGCAUUUGACCAUUAUAGUUUUCUCCCGGCUUUAAAGUAACCUUAUCGUGAUAAAGGAUUACUAGCACUAGUUCAGAUGAUAGUCAUGUUAAAUUCGGACCAUGUUUGUGUCACAUUAUCAGCAACCAUGUGUUUAUGGUUCAUGCUUUCUGCAACUAAAAUUGAUAUAUAACCAGGUGAACUUCAAUCUAAAUUCUGAAAGUACUCAUGUGAUAGAUGGUGCCCGUCUGCAGAGUCCAUCAAUUGAAAAAUGGAGUGAGUGUAUCUAUAAGAGGGAAGGCUUGGAAAAUGUUCAGUUUUCUGGGAAUUCAACAAGGAUCUAAAAUAGAUUGUUUUCUUUGCUGAUUUCAAUGGUUGAAAUUUGAGAAGAUUGUGUCCACAUAACACAACUAUUACUGGUCCUUCUGUUGCAAUUUAUCCUCUAAAGCUCUAGCAUGUCUUCCAAUUCCCACUUCCCUGUUACUCCAGGAAAGCUAUUUCUGUCAUUGUGAAGAAGAAAAGAGAAUGUACAUAUCGAUGCUUUUAAGUGACUGGAGCAUUUAUAUCAGGUGGUCUGCAGCCAUAUAUGCCACUUUGUGAAGAUUGGAACAGUCAAUCACUAGGCUAUAUAUUAGUGUGGCCCAGCCACUUUAAUCAAGGACAAGUCUUCAUACUUAAAGUCAAAUUCUGCCUUUAGUCUCAUUAUAAAUUUCUGUUUAAAUAUUAAGCAAACAUUUGUUUAAUGCGAUUAAGACAGUACUAACUCAAUACCUGUUCUAUUUUUGGAUGCAAAUGCUUGAUGGUUUCAUCAUUGGAUGGGAUAAAGGUGCAUUCAUGAUUAGGAAUACUAGUAGUUAUAUUUUAAUUCUCUUUUUUCUCAAUGAGACUUGUUGGCACAAUUUUGCUGUUGAGAAACCUACCUCUCCAUGGAAAAUAAGUUGUGAUUGAUAGUACUGGAUAUAUUCAAGAAAUCUAAAUAUAGAUAGCACAAAAUAUUAUCGACAUAAAUAGCAUUAACAGCGUACGUAUGUCUCAGUGCUCAUCAGCUAUAAGCAUGGGGCAAACACUUACUAUGAGCAACUUACGUCAAAAUUCCAGAAUAGGACAUAGAAGUGACAGAUAUAGAACAUUGCAUAUGAGUCACAAGAAAGGAAAUUACGGGUGCAUAGCAGCUCUUAUUUUACAUACUACUACUCAUACUGAUCAAAGUCACUCAGUUGGGAUGGGUGGGAGUAGGAGGUUUGUGGGGUGGCUUGUGCGGAGGAGUUGGCAGCUUCUUUCCAGGACCUGGUUGCUUCUCUGCUGGAGUUGAAGGAGGCUUAAUCUUCCGAGGUGGCUUGUAUGAGUCUUCAGCAUUCUCAGCUGGAGGGUGACCAGGGUUGUGACCAUAAUGUGGUGGCUUCUCUCCCUUAGGUGGUUUGCCAACUGGGGUUGGUGGCUUGUAUGAGUCUUCAGCAUUCUCAGCAGGAGGGUGACCAGGGUUGUGACCAUAAUGUGGUGGCUUCUCUCCCUUAGGUGGUUUGCCAACUGGGGUUGGUGGCUUGUGUUCUGGGAGUGGCUUCUCCCCCUUGGGAGGUUUUUCCAAUGGGGUUGGUUUGUGUUCAGGAGGUGGCUUCUCCACUGGAGGCUUGUGUUCAGGAGGUGGCUUCUCCACCGGAGGCUUGUGUUCAGGUGGUGGCUUCUCCACCGGAGGCUUAUGCUCUGGUGGUGGCUUCUCGAAUGGGGGAUGCUUAGGAUAAUCAGCAAGUGAGGGGGCGGUGAGAACCACCAGGCCAAGCAACACCACUAGCAAAUAUGUAGGAGACAUCUUUGGGUUUGGGCUCAGAUGGUGCAAAACUAGGAGAAUUGGCUAGCCUUUUAUAGCGGAUCGUACCCAAUAAUGAAAUGACACGUGUCAUUAUGACCCAUGUGUAAUGGGGUCGAUUUGGGUCCUACAGUGUUGAAAACUUCGACAUCCACUUUUGGCCUUUUGCUUUCUCUACAGCCGCCUUGCUUUUUCCCUCUUUCCUUUUGUUUUCCUCCUGCCCCAUUCUAUCAACUAAACACAAUUAUGUAGUUGUUUAAUUCUUAAAUGAGAUAUUAUCCGUCAAUCGUAUUAUAUUUUAUCAAGAGAGAACGGAGUGCAAUGUGGCUGUAAUUUUAUCGUUUAGUUUUAUCUCUUGGACCACUGCAUUUUUGUUAAGAGGUGCAAUAAUACACGUCUUUAUCUGCCAUUCAAUAUUUACAGUAAAGAGAGGGCACAAAACUCUUCACUUCGCACCAUAAUUAUUUUGUUUUCUGGACACCCCGGGGCCCUUUGGUUGGUUUGGGGGUCAGAAAGUGAACAUCAUAGGGGGUUUUUCCCUUAUGUGCAUUUGUAUCUGAUGGCUUUAACUCGCCUUGUUACUACAAAGAAACUGUCACAGAUAGGAACUUAUUCCAGGCUGAGUAUCUCCUCAUAGACCCUAUAAAAGAAGACAAGUCAUAAUGAACAUCUAACCUUUGUUCAAUUUGAUUCAAUGCCCCCAUUGUGUCCAUCUCACAAAUCUGAAUUAUUAUAUCCAUUGAAUACAUAAAUUAAUGAAGAAAAUAUGAAACCCAAGAUACAUCUCUGCACAACCUCAACCCUGGUUGCUAUGUUUCCCUUCUAUUCACAUGAUUUGAUGCUAAUUGCCAAACUUGCAACAAGCCCUGAGUUUGACACCUAGUAUCGAUGGGCGAAUUUAAAGUCUCCUCCAAACAUAUAUUCCACAGCUUGAAGCUCACAGAAGAUGUUACAGGCAGGGAAAAACCUUCAGAGUUCGCUACCAAAGAUAAUUAUUAAGGAGAUAUCACAAAGAGAAUUCCAAGGGGUCUGAAUCAAAGACAAAUUGGUCGUUCGUGGGGGUUCUUACUUUCUUUUGGGUAUAACUCACUGAGGGCACUGUCUUUGUUAUUUGCAUUUCACAUUUAGAGUUCUGUUCUGGAAACAUAUAAAAGGAGCAUCAUUUUGUUCUUGGGUAACCCAUAGUCGUGAGUGGGUCCAUUUGCAUGCUACUUAGUUGAAAAGUUGGACCAUUUGCUCCGACGCCUACCUCCCGGAUUCCAUGCUCGGAUAAAACAAGAAUAAAAAAAAUAUUUAUAAUUUACAAAUGGGGGAAAGAAAAAAAUGUCAACAACAAACCAGGAAAAAAGAGUAGUAAAAUUCAUGUCACAUGCUAGUGAGAGAAGGGGUUGUUACACUCACUCGAAGUUCUUUCCAAAAUAUCGCAUGGUAUUUUAUUUUAUGUGUCAGCGCAGUUGUGAAUGGAACGUGCAAAAGUCCAAAUUGGCGUUUUUCCUUUUCCCGUGUAGGAUGGCGACCUUUAAUAAAUAUUUAAAACAAAAAACGAAAAAAAGGAGGGAAAAGGGAUCAGAAAAGAUAAAACAAUGUGUACAAGAGCUCAAUUAGUUUGCAAAUUACUGUUUGGAUUUUGAUAGUAUUUUAUUUGUCCAUCUAUAUUUGAUGGAAAAGAGAAUUUAAGAUAUUUCUGAAACAAAAGCAUUAGUGUAAAACUAAAUUAAGGUAUAAUUAAGUUAGUUCAAUGCAUUAAUUUAAGAAACUUGAUCUAUCCAAAGUACAAAAUUAGAUGAAAUCCAUUUCAAUGGUUAAAAUGAUCAAAAUCAAACUUUUUCUAAGUAUUUUUUAAAAGCAUCAAUAUUAAAAGACAAUUUUAUAUUUAGUCGGAGUUUGGACAAAACCAAAAAGCACACAAAAUCCAAGCGACCAUCUCUAGCUUGGAUAGUCACUUGAUCCCACCUAGAGAUGUGCAUGAGUAAAAGGAUUUGAAAAUGGAAAUUGACUAAAUAUUUAGUUGAUCAAUUAAAUUUGCAAUGUCAUAUGCAAUCCUAAUAGCUAGUCAUCUAAUCAAUUAGGUAGUCAAUCAAGUGUUUGUAAUGACUAUUUUGUACAAAAAACCACAUGUAUAGUUAAAUAUAAUGCAUUUCAUUUAUAAAUCUUCUAAUUCUUGAAUAACGAUCCUAUCAUCCUUUGAAAAUUUUUAUUACACCUUUUUUACUUUUGUUCUAAAACUUACAUAUCACCCUUAAUUGUACCAUGAGAACCUAGCUAUUUUUUUUUUUUUUGUAAUUCAUCAAAGUUAGCUUUUGUAUUCAUUGUUGUAUUAUUUUUAGUAUAACUUAGAAAGCUAGUGUUUUCAAGUGAGUAAAAUUAACUUGUAAAUAUUGUAAAGAUUCAUUGAUAUGUAUCUUAAACUAAGUGUACAAAUUAAAACAUUUGCUAGUAGAUUUUCUCAAAAUUUAGAAUAGAGCUUGAGGCUAUUGAAAUAGGUGGGGUUACACCAAACCACAUCACAUCGUUGUUUGCACCUUUUUUCACUCUCUUUUACUUAGUUUCUCUAUAUUUGUUGUCUAGUAAUAUCCUAUAGGCUUGAUGGGUUAGGGAGCAUCCCUUUGUGAAAAAAUUUCAUUCAAUUCUUAGUUGUAUUACGCAUAUAUAAAAUGCCUCAUUGUUUUAAUGGUAUUCAGUCGUGGCAUCACAGAUAUGGGCAUCUAAAUUUUAAAAGUUUGAAACUUUUGUAAAGCAUGUUGAUAAAAUCCAUGAGAGUUGUGUACUUGGGAAGCAACAUCGAGGUGACUUUAUUUUUUUUUCCUUUUAUAAUGCCACACCUAAGUCCGGUUUCUAAAUGCUAAAGUGAAAGGGUAGGUAUGGACCAUUGAAAUGUGAUCACAACUUUUGGCCUUUUCCUUUCUCUGCAGCCAUGUUGUCUCUUUUUUCUUUUGCAUGAUUUUCUUACCAAAACAGAAUCAUAGACUUGUUUAGUCUCUAAGCUACUAUAUUAUAUCUCGGUGGACUUUUAAGAGUGCAACCGACAUAGAGCACAUGCAAGUGGGCAUAUGGGACAUGAAAUUUCUUCUUACAAAGAUUGCAUGAUUUUUAUAUUAGAGUUGUUCACGUGCAAUGUAUUUAGCUUGUUUUGCAGUUAAAUUAAUUGGAUAAGUAAACAUUGGCAUUUCUAAAUCGACUGUGAAGUGCUUCAUGUACGUGUAAAGUAUUAGAAAUUUCUUUCUUGGCAACUUGUUUUUUCCUUGCCAUCUACUGGUAGGUUUGACUAAAAUUAUAUUCCCUGUCAUGCUAAUUAAUUUUCAUGUGCAUGCUCAAAAGAAGAGUAUGACCUUAGUGCACCAAAAUCACUUUGAUUAAUUUGUGAUAGGUUUUUUUGCAUCAUUUAGAUAAUGUUUAGUUCUAAGAAAAAUUUAUAUAAAAAUGGUUUAUUUAUCUUACAUAUAUAUAUAUAUAUAUAUAUUUUUUUUUUUUUCAUUUUUUUUUCUUCUAUUUUAUUUAUUUAUUUUAUUUUCCUUAUGUUUUCCUCACAUUUUCCGGAACUAAACAUAGUCUUACGAAAUCAACAAUUGCCUUCAACUGAGUAGAUUCUGUUGUUUUAGCAAUGUUAGGCUGCUAACUUGUGGUGGUACGAACCAAAUGACCCAUGUUAAUCUUGGCUUGGUUUGAUUUGGCUCUAUCUCAGAGAGCUAAAGGAUCACGUCAACUCUGGUUUCUACUAUUCAGGUCCAUUCCCAGAUGAACUGGUUCAAAUUUGAGAAAAUGGUAACAGACCUUUAGUGAUGUUGGUUUGGAGCCAGUUGCCAAACCCGCCCUGAGCUUUACCACUAAUGUCAAGGGAGAAAGCCAUUUGAACAAAAACAAUAGCUUCAAGAGACUGAAUCGUGGAUGAAAUCUGAUCCACAUUUCUUCUCAUUUUGGGAAAAAAUGAGAACUUAACUACAAAGAUUCUACUGCCUCAUUCAUAGUGCUUUUCCUGAUCCAAGGUUGGUUCGUUUCCCAAAUUGUGAGGUGCACGUGCCACUCUCACGCUCAGGAGUGUAUCCACGUGGUGGACAUCAGAUGGUGGCUUAAUAUCUGGUGUCGGUGGCUUUACUUUACUAGGAGAGUAGUGUGUCUUCAUCUCAUUCACUGCCGGAGGGUGGCGUAAGCAGUGACGCUAAGGUGGGGCACAGUCAAUAUCAUUUGCAUUUGACCAUUAUAGUUUUCUCCCGGCUUGAAAGUAACCUUAUCGUGAUAAAGGAUUACUAGCACUAGUUCAGAUGACCGUCAUGUUAAUUCGGACCAUGUUUGUGUCACAUUAUCAGCAACCAUGUGUUUAUGGUUCAUGCUAUCUGCAACUAAACUUGAUAUAUAACCAGGUGAACUUCAAUCAAAAUUCUGGAAGUACUCUUGUGAUAGAUGGUGCCUGUCUGCAGAGUCCAUCAAUUGAAAAAUGGAGUGAGUGUAUCUAUAAGAGGGAAGGCUUGGCAAAUGUUCAGUUUUCUGGGAAUUCAACAAGGAUCUAAAAUAGAUUGUUUUCUUUGCCGACUUCAAUGGUUGAAAUUUGAGAAGAUUGUGUCCACAUAUCACAACUAUUACUGGUCCUUCUGUUGCAAUUUAUCCUGUAAGGCUCUAACAUGUCUUCCAAUUCCCACUUCCCUGUUACUCCAGGAAAGCUAUUUCUGUCAUUGUGAAGAAGAAAAGAGAAUGUACAUAUCGAUGCUUUUAAGUGACUGGAGCAUUCAUAUCAGGUGGUCUGCAGCCAUAUAUGCCACUUUGUGAAGGUUGGAACAGUCAAUCACUAGGCUAUAUAUUGGUGUGGCCCAGCCACUUCAAUCAAGGACAAGUCUUCAUACUUAAAGUCAAAUUCUGCCUUUAGUCUCAUUAUAAAUUGCUGUUUAAAUAUUAAGCAAACUUUUGUUUAAUGCGAUUAAGACAGUACUAACUCAAUACUUGUUCUAUUUUUGGAUGCAAAUGCUUGAUGGUUUCAUCAUUGGAUGGGAUAAAGGUGCAUUCAUGAUUAUGAAUACUUGUAGUUAUAUUUUCAUUCUCUUUUUUCUCAAUGAGACUUGUUGGCACAAUGUUGCUGUUCAGAAACCUACCUCUCCAUGGAAAAUAAGUUGCGAUUGAUAGUACUGGAUAUGUUCAAGAAAGCUAAAUAUAGAUAGCACAAAAUAUUAUCGAUAUAAAUAGCAUUAACAGCGUACGUAUGUCUCAAUGCUCAUCAGCUAUAAGCAUGGGACAAACACUUACUAUGAGCAACUUACGUCAAAAUUCCAGAAUAGGACAUAGAAGUGACAGAUCUAUAUAUAUAGAACACUGCAUAUGAGUCACAAGAAAGGAAAUUACGGGUGCAUAGCAGCUCUUAUUUUACAUACUACUACUCAUACUGAUCAAAGUCACUCAGUUGGGAUGGGUGGGAGUAGGAGGUUUGUGGGGUGGCUUGUGCGGAGGAGUUGGCAGCUUCUUUCCAGGACCUGGUUGCUUCUCUGCUGGAGUUGAAGGAGGCUUAAUCUUCCGAGGUGGCUUGUAUGAGUCUUCAGCAUUCUCAGCUGGAGGGUGACCAGGGUUGUGACCAUAAUGUGGUGGCUUCUCUCCCUUAGGUGGUUUGCCAACUGGGGUUGGUGGCUUGUAUGAGUCUUCAGCAUUCUCAGCAGGAGGGUGACCAGGGUUGUGACCAUAAUGUGGUGGCUUCUCUCCCUUAGGUGGUUUGCCAACUGGGGUUGGUGGCUUGUGUUCUGGGAGUGGCUUCUCCCCCUUGGGAGGUUUUUCCAAUGGGGUUGGUUUGUGUUCAGGAGGUGGCUUCUCCACUGGAGGCUUGUGUUCAGGAGGUGGCUUCUCCACCGGUGGCUUGUGUUCAGGAGGUGGCUUCUCCACCGGAGGCUUAUGCUCUGGUGGUGGCUUCUCCACCGGAGGCUUAUGCUCUGGUGGUGGCUUCUUGAAUGGGGGAUGCUGAGGGUAAUCAGCAAGUGAGGGGGCGGUGAGAACCACCAGGCCAAGCAACACCACUAGCAAAUAUGUAGGAGACAUCUUUGGGUUUGGGCUCAGAUGGUGCAAAACUAGGAGAAUUGGCUAGCCUUUUAUAGCGGAUCGUACUCAAUAAUGAAAUGACACGUGUCAUUAUGACCCAUGUGUAAUGGGGUCGAUUUGGGUCCUACAGUGUUGAAAACUUCGACAUCCAGUUUUGGCCUUUUGCUUUCUCUACAGCCGCCUUGCUUUUUCCCUCUUUCCUUUUGUUUUCCUCCUGCCCCAUUCUAUCAACUAAACACAAUUAUGUAGUUGUUUAAUUCUUAAAUGAGAUAUUAUCGGUCAAUCGUAUUAUAUUUUAUCAAGAGAGAACGGAGUGCAAUGCAGCUGUAAUUUUAUCGUUUACUUUUAUCUCUUGGACCACUGCAUUUUUGUUAAGAGGUGCAAUAAUACACGUCUUUAUCUGCCAUUCAAUGUUUACAGUAAAGAGAGGGCACAAAACUCUUCACUGCUCUGCAUGUGUCCCAAAAAUGCGAUUGGACAAAUUAUGAUUUGCAUGCUAAAAAGAGGCAAAUGAGGUUAAUUCGCACCAUAAUUAUUUGGUUUUCUGGACACCAUAAAAAGAUGUUAUACAGGCAGGGAAAAACCUUCAGAGUUAGCUACCAAAGAUAAUUAUCAAGCAGAUAUCACCAAGAGAAUUCCAUAGAGUCUGAAUCAAAGACAGAUUGCUCGCUCGUGGGGGUUCUUACUUUCUUUUGGGUAUAACUCACUGAGGUCACUGUCUUUUUUAUUUGCAUUUCACAGUUAGAGUUCUGCUCUGGAAGGUUUGUUCUGGAAACAUAUAAAAGGAGCAUCAUUUUGUUCUUGGGUAACCCAUAGUCGUGAGUGGGUCCAUUUGCAUGCUACUUAGUUGAAAAGUUGGACAAUUUGCUCCGACGCCUACCUCCUGGAUUCCAUGCUCGGUAAAACAAGAAUAAAAAAAAAUAUAUAAUUUACAAAUGGGGGAAAGAAAAAAUGUCGGAAAAAAUAGUAAAAUUCAUGUCACAUGCUAGUGAGAGAAGGGGUUGUUACACUCACUCGAAGUUCUUUUCAAAAUAUCGAAUGGUAUUUUACUUUAUGUGUCAGCGCAGUUGUGAAUGGAACGUGCAAAAGUCCAAAUUGGCGUUUUUAUUUUUCCCAUGUAGGAUGGUGACCUUUAAUAAAUAUUUAAAACAAAAGACGAAAAAAAAAAGGAGGGAAAAGGGAUCACAAAAGAUAAAAUAAUGUUUACAAAAGCUCAAUUAGUUUGCAAAUUACUGUUUGGAUUUUGAUAGUAUUUUAUUUGUCGUUCUAUAUUUGAUGUAAAAGAGAAUUUAAGAUAUUUCCGAAGCAAAAGCAUUAGUUUGCUCUGUGAUGUCCCACAUCGAAUAGGGGAGAAAGUUUCUGGCGCUAUAUAUGUAGAGGCUCCUCUUAACCAAGUAGAUGCGUUUUAAAACCAUGAGGGCCCCCUUAGGUCCAAAGCGGACAAUAUCUACAUGAUUGGGUGUAAGUCAUUACAAAUGGUAUCAGAGCCGAUCCCCGACCCCGGUGUGGGGGUUUGUUUGGCCCUGUAAGGGGUGUUUGUCUGUUUGACCCCACAAUCCCAUGGGACACAACGAGGACGUUGUGUCUGCAUGGGGGGGCGUUUGUGAUGUCCCACAUCGGAUAGGGGAGAAAGUUCCUAGUGCUAUAUAUGUAGAUGUUUCUCUUAACCAAGUAGAUGCAUUUUAAAAUUGUGAGGGCCUCUUUGGGCCCAAAGCGGACAAUAUCUACAUGGUUGAGUGUAAGUCAUUACAUGCUCCAUGUCAAUUUCAGCAUUUCUCAUAUGUUUCACACAUACACAGAAGAGCAUCGUUUUUUAAAGCAUGCAUUUAUGUUGGAUUAAUUUGGAUUUUGUGGGAACUGGGGCAAGGAUCACAUGGAAGAGAGGUUGACUUUUUUCAGUACUUCAAUGGUUGAAAUAUGUGAAGGCUUGAUUGAUACUAAAGCUUGAAAUUGCGACUCUGUCAUUUGUAAAAAAAUAUGACAGCUUCCAUGCUCUCGUUUGGUUGCAUUGUCCGGUCGAGAGGUGCAAAAAGCAUUCUCUCUCUUCUAAUAGUCUUUUCGUUUAAAUCAAGGGAUUUGCCUUCCCGGUCGAGGUCCAAUAGAGGGUAACGGUCACCUACUAAACAUUAAAUGCUCCAACAACUAGUGAACUGAUCGACCCCAGCUCGACUAGUUGAGGUUACUUUUUGGUUUUCUUGUCUCCCGAGGUUAGAAACCUAUAAAUAGAGAGCUUCACUUCAUUUAUGAGUAAGAGAACACCUAAAUUUAUUUGUUUACCUACUUGUUUUUGCCAUAAAAGCUCUCAUUUCUUUUCUUGGUGUAUUAAAUCUCCAUUUGCAUAUCCUUUAGUGCACCUUUGUGAUUCAUUCUAGCCUUGAGUUGUAUUUAAGCCUUUGUUGAGCUAGGUUGAGAGUUUCAUACUUGUUUAUUGAGUGUUAAAGCCUUCAAGUGAGUUAAAACUUGAAGAGAUUGUGUAAGAGCCCAUUGGAGUCGGAAUCCAAGUGUAAAGGUGAUUAAAAGCUUGGUUGAAGCUUCAAGUUAGUGGAACUCUCACUCGGUUAUGAGCUUGAGAAGAGUGGACAUAGACAAGGCAGUGUCGAACCACUAUAAAAUCUGAGUUUGAUUUCUCUAACCUUAUCUCUUUAUAUUUGCUUCUCUUGUGCUUAAAUUUUUUGUGUUUAAAAAGAAUUUUUAAAAACUCAAUUCACCCCCUUCUUGGGAGUUUUUCUCUUUUAAGAUCAGCUUUUAUUUUCUCAAUUGGUAUCAGAACUAUGCCUCUUGUUUAAGACUUAAUCGUCUAAGAGGAAAUGGCUAAUCCAUCAAGUUCAUCUCACAUUGAAAGUUUUGCAACCAAUAGACUUCUUUUUUUUUUUUUGCGGGAACUGAUUAUCCCUAUUGGAAAACUAAAAUGACUUGGUUUUUACAAUCAAUUGAUUUAGAUGUAUGAGAUGCCAUUGAAGAUGACCUAACUUUUCCUUCAAAACUAGUUGAUGGAGUCAUGGUUCCAAAACCUAAGCAAGAAUGGGAUGAGCGUGAUUGAAGAAAUUUUCAAUUAAAUGCUAAAGUCGUUUAUACUUUGCAAUGCUCUAUGGACAGAAAUGAAUAUAAUAGAAUAUGUCAAUGCAAAUCGGUUAAAGAAAUUUGGAGAUUGCUUGAAAUAACUCAUAAAGGAACAAAUCAAGUUAAAGAGUCAAAAAUCAAUUUACUUGUUCAUAGAUAUGAAUUGUUUUUUAUGAAAGAUAAUGAAACUAUUGUUAAGAUGAUCACUAGGUUCACCAACAUUGUUAAUGGUCUUAAAGCCUUGGGAAAGACCUACAAGGAAUCCGAAAACGUGAUGAAGAUCUUGAGGUCACUUCCAUCAAAGUGGCAUACCAAGGUCACCGCAAUUUAAGAAGCAAAAGACUUGAUCAAGCUACCUUUGGAGGAGUUCAUAGGGUCAUUGAUGACAUAUGAAAUCAAUUUGGCAAAGAAGUAACAAAAAGGUGAAGACAAAAAGAAGAAGAACAUAACUCUCAAAGCUACAACUAAGGAAGAAGAAGUUGAAGAAGAAAAACAAAUUGAAGAAGAUGAAGAUUUAGCCCUCAUCACAAGAAAGUUCAACAAAUUCAUGAGGGGUGAAAGGUUUAGAAGAAGAAGGUUCACUUCUAGAAGAGACUUUUCUAAAAAGGAAUCUUCAUCUAAUGGUGACAAAAAGAGAUGGGAAGAGAAAAGAGACUUGGUGUGUUUCAAGUGCAAGAAACCGGGACACAUUAAAUAUGAUUGUCCUCUCUACAAAAGUGAAGUCAAGAGGAAAAAGAAUAAGGCAAUGAUGGCCACUUAGAGUGAAAGUGAAGAUGAAUCAUCCGAAGAAGAAAAUGAGAAAGAAGUGGCAAACAUGUGUUUCAUGGCAAUAGAUGAACUUGAUGAGGUAAAAUCUAACCUUAGUGAUUAAGAUAUACAUGAUGCAUUUGAAGAAUUGUAUGAGGAUUUUUAAAAACUUAGUUUGAAAAAUAUUUCUCUUAAAAAGAAAGUUCAACAACUUGACAAAGAACUUAGAGAAGUAAAAGAAAAAUUUUCAAAUGUUAAAGUUUCUAAAACUCAUCUUGAAAAAGAAAAUGAGAUUCUAAGAAAGAAAAAUGAAUAGUUGAACUCCUCUCUUUCAAUCUUUUCUUCUAGACAAAAAUCUUUUGAAAUGAUUCUAACUAGCUAAAAAUGUGUUUUUGACAAACAAGGGUUAAGAUUUAAAUCUUCAAAAAAUCAAAAGUAUUUUAAAAACUAUUUUGUAAAGGAAUCCACAAGUGCAAGUCCUUCCACUACUUGCAACUUUUGUGGAAGAGAAUGGCACAUUAGUAGUACGCCCUUUAAGAAAUGGUUCUCAAAAGAAUUUAAAUGCAAAAACUAAAAAAGAUUUGGAUUGAGAAAUCCAAGGUCACUAACCCUCAAGGACCCAAAAAGAUAUAGGUACCUAAAUCAACUUGAGUUUUAUGUUGUAAGGUUCAAAGAAUGAUAAGUGGUUCUUAGAUAAUGGUUGCUCAAGACACAUGACCGGAGAUGAAUCCAAGUUUGCUUUUCUUAAAAAGAAAAAUGGAGGAUAUGUUACCUUUGGAGACAAUGCAAAAGAAAGGAUGAUUGGUCAAGGCAACAUUGGUAAUGGCACAUCCUCUCUCAUUGAAAGUGUUUUAUUAGUAGAUGGUUUCAAACAUAACCUUUUAAGCAUUAGUCAAUUUUGCGACAAAGGUUUUUAAGUGAUUUUUUAAGCAUCUCAUUGCAUCAUCAAGGAUAUUCAAAAUGAUAAAACCAUUUUCAUGGGCCAUAGAUGUGAUAAUGUUUAUGCUAUAAAUAUUUCAAAAUAUGAUGGCCAUGAUAGAUGUUUUUCAAGCAUGCAUGAUCAAAGUUGGUUGUGCCAUAGGAGAUUGAGACAUGCUAACAUAGACCUCAUUUCCCAACUCAACAAAGAUGAACUUGUUAGAGGCCUUCCCAAAAUAAUUUUUUAAAAAGAUAAAGUUUGUGAAGCUUGUCAAGUGGGAAAGUAAAUCAAAAACUCUUUUAAAAACAAAAACUUCAUUUCCACAUCUAGGCCACUUGAGUUGUUGCAUAUGGAUUUAUUUGGUCCCUCUAGGACACCAAGUCUUAGAGGAAAUUCUUAUGCAUAUGCUAUUGUGGACGACUUCUCUAGAUACACAUGAGUCUUGUUUUUUAGUCAAAAGAAUAAAGUUUUUUAUGAGUUUUCAAAGUUUUGCAAUAAGAUUCAAAAUGAAAAAGGUUUUUCAAUUACUUAUAUAAGAAGUGAUCAUGGGAGAGAAUUCGAAAAUAUUGAUUUUGAAGAGUAUUGCAAUGAGCAUGGAAUUGACCACAAUUUUUUGGCUCUUAGAACUCCUCAACAAAAUGGGGUAGUUGAAAGGAAAAAUAGAACUCUUCAAAAAAUGACAAGAACCAUACUAAAUGAAAACAACUUACCAAAAUAUUUUUAGGCCAAAACGGUUAACACUUCUUGUUAUGUUUUAAAUAGAGUAUUAUUGAGGCUCAUACUUAAGAAAACUCCCUAUGAGCUUUGGAAAAACAAAAAACCCAACAUUAGUUAUUCCAAAGUCUUUGGAUGCAAUAUUUUAUAAUAAACACCAAAGACAAUCUUGGAAAAUUUGAUGCAAAAUUGGAUGUUGGAAUUUUCCUUGGUUACUCAACUUCAAGUAAAGCUUUUCGAGUUUUAACAAAAGAACCAUGGUUGUAGAGGAGUCCAUCCAUGUUAUUUUUUAUGAAUCUCCAAGAAAGAGAGAGGAUUGAUGAUGAUUUAGGUUUGAAGACCUCUAUAGGAAGAUUGCAAAUCGAAGAUAGAAGACAACAAGAAGAAAAUGGAGAGAAUCCAAAGAAAGAAGGAUCACCAUUGGCACUACCCCCUCAUCAACAAGCGCAAGGUGAAUCAAGUCAAGAGCUUCCUAAAGAAUGGAAGUUUGUCAUCAAUCACCCACAAGAUCAAAUUAUAGGCAAUCCAUCUAGUGGGGUAAGAACUAGAUCCUCUCUUAGAAAUAUUUGCAAUAAUCUAGCUUUUAUCUCUCAAAUUGAGCCUAAAAAUAUAAAUGAUGUUUUAGAUGAUGAAAAUUGGAUAAUUGCAAUGCAAGAAGAGUUAAAUCCAUUUGAAAGAAGUGGAGUAUGGGAAUUAGUACCAAGACCUUCAAAUCAAAGUGUUAUUGGAACUAGAUGGAUCUUUAGAAAUAAAAUGGAUGAAAAUAGCAUAAUUGUUAGAAAUAAAGCAAGAUUGGUAGCCCAAGGUUUUAAUCAAGAAGAAAUGAUAGAUUAUGAAGAAACCUUUGCCCCCGUAGCUAGGUUGGAAGCCAUUAGGAUGCUACUUGCCUUUGCAUGUUUUAAAGACUUUGUUUUAUAUCAAAUGGAUGUGAAAAGUGCUUUUUUAAAUGGUUUUAUAAAUGAAGAAGUAUAUGUUGAACAACCACCCGGUUUUCAAAGUUUCAACUUUCCUAACCAUGUUUUUAAACUUAAAAAGACACUUUAUGGUUUGAAACAAGCACCUAGAUCAUGGUAUGAAAAAUUGAGUAAAUUUCUUUUGAAAAAAAUGUUUUAAAAUGGGAAAAAUUGACACAACUCUUUUUAUAAAAACCAAAGAAAAUGAUAUGCUCUUAGUUCAAAUAUAUAUUGAUGAUAUCAUUUUUGGUGCUACUAAUGUCUCUCUUUAUGAAGAAUUUUCUAAGUGCAUGCAUAGUGAGUUUGAAAUGAGCAUGAUAGGAGAACUCAACUUCUUCCUUGGACUUCAAAUCAAGCAACUAAAGGAAUGAACCUUCAUCAAUCAAGCAAAGUAUAUAAGAGAUCUUCUCAAAAGGUUCAACAUGGAAGAAGCCAAAACAAUGAAGACUCUAAUGAGCUCAUCCAUUAAGCUUGAUAAGGAUGAGAAAGGUAAAUCCAUUGACUCUAUUAUGUAUAGAGGCAUGAUAGGUUCUUUGCUCUAUUUGACCACUAGUAGACCUUACAUUAUGUAUAGUGUGUGUUUGUGUACUAGAUUUCAAUCUUGUCUUAAAAAAUCUCACUUAAGUGUCGUGAAAAGAAUCCUCAAAUAUUUGAAAGGGACAAUGGACAUAGGCUUAUGGUAUCCUAAGAGUGAUAACUUUGAAUUAAUUGGUUUUUUGGAUGCUGAUUUUGUCAGUUGUAGGGUUGAAAAAUAAAACACUAGUGGCACUUUUCAUUUCUUAAGACACUUACUUGUCUCAUGGCAUAAUAAGAAGCAAAAUUUGGUAGCUUUGUCAACAGCAGAAGCUAAAUACAUAGCAACUGGUUUAUGUUGUGCACAAAUCCUUUGGAUGAAAUAAACACUUAGUGAUUUUGAUUUAUCUUUUGAGCAUAUUCCUAUUAAAUGUGAUAAUAGUAGUGCCAUAAGUAUAUCAAAAAAUCUCGUGCAACACUCUAGGACUAAGCAUAUAGAGAUUAGACAUAAUUUUCUUAGAUAUCAUACACAAAAGGAUGAUAUAACACUUGAAUUUGUAAGCAUAAAAGACCAACUUGCCGAUAUCUUUACAAAACCUCUAAGAACAUUUUGUUGAUAUUAGAGGACAAUUAGGAGUGAUUUCUUUAUGAUCUAAUGUGAUGAAUUCUUGAUGAAUAUACUUUUUGAUUGCAUGAAUUUCAUGUCAUAUAUGCAUCAUAUAGAAAUAUACUUAGAUAAUGGUCAAAUUUCGACCAAAAAUCAAAAUUCCCAUGGCAUUAGGCAUAAAAAUUUUGGAAUUUCAACUGAAAAUGGUAGGAGGAGGAUCACAAAAUGAGAAAGUAUGCAAAAAUUGAAAAAUCAAAACGUUGACCAAGCGGUCAAUCGGACUAGACCGAUCGACUAGUUUGUCGAGAUUUAGGAUUUUUAAGAGACUCCAACGCUUCAAUUUUUGCACCGUUCUCCUCUAUUUCUUCACGGUUUCUCUGAUUUUGUCUUUUAGAGACUAAUUUGAGUGCGUUUUGGAUCAAUUGAAGCAUUUUGGAUUGGAUUUUAGGAAGAUUGAAAGUUAAGGUUUCGGAUUUGGGUCGCCUUCUCUUCCUCUCGCGUGUCACAAUCAGCUUUAGCAUUGUUCUCUUUCCAUUUUCACACACCUAGGGUUUCAGUUGUGAGCAUCUCUCUCUCUUUACCAACCACUACUCCCUUGCUUCUUCCAUAUGGCUCCUAGGCGAGAGUCCGCUACUUCUAGGGCACAAGGCAAGCACCCAACUGAGUCGUCUCAGUCAAAGGCACGUCGAAAAGUGAGAUUUGACAUUGCCUUGUUCAGUUCCAUGGAGGACUACCAACUAUACAAGCAACACUUUGCUUAGAGACGAGUAGUUCCCAAGAGAAAUAUUAAUUUUCCUCAACUUCAGCAUUUCGAAUUUAAGGGUCUAUUUACUAGGAUGGUUGGUUGUCUAUUGUCACAAUUUCGGAGCCGGUUUUCCUGACCUUAGUGCGAGUUUUUUACUCGAGGGCGACUUAUGGCAUGGGUGGCAUGAUCAUUUCUACUGUUGGAGGAGUUGAGAUCUGUCUGGACCCAGAGAGCAUCUGCCAUAUUUUCGAUAUUGCUCUGGUUGGACUCAAAGUAUACAAGUCCAAAAUGUGGCCCAUUGUGCCAGGAUUUGAGCUUAGAGAGGUCAUUCAGAGGAUUUGUGAACUUCCAGACGCCCAGGAGAUGGGCAAACCAUUGCCACACAGUUUGACGGUCAUCAACAGGGUGCUACACCAUAUAUUGUGCUCUAUCUUUCUACCACGAAGUGGACAUUGAGAUGAGGUCUCUUAUUAUGAGGCAUUCCUUAUUGACUCCAUUCUAACGGAGAGACGAAUUCAUCUACUAUGUCAUCAUUCACUAAGCCUCCUCACAGUGACAUACCACCUCAUCAGGCACCUCUUGCUCCUGACCAUGCUCCAUUGAUGGAUUUAUUUACUCAUAUUAGCUCUCUAGGCACUCGCAUGAAGGAGUUUGUUGUAGUUAGUGAUACAUGGUUCUACUCCAUAGAGGAUCGCAUGGAUCAGUAUCAGACUGGCUUCACGUCACAGUUUGAGUAUCUCCAAUAGAGGAUUGAGCAUAUUGAGGAUCACUUGAGCAUGAGAAGAUGAUGGCUUUUCUAUGCUCUGUGUUUCCACCUCCACCUCGUCAACCUUGAUUUCUUAGAGACCCAUUGUUUUCAUUUUGUAAUGUUGCCAAAAGGGGGAGAUAUUUAGGAUCUAGGACUCUAUAGGAGACUUACAUGCAUAUCAUUUUCAUAUCAUUGUUUGGAUCGUACAUAUUGGAUAGUGAUACUUUUUACUUAUAUAUGAUAUGCCUAUAUGUUUCAUGUCUUACAUUGUUUCUUAUUGCAAAUUAUCUCUAACAUGUCUUGAUUAUCUUUUUUUUAACUUCAUAAAUUUUGAUUGUUAACCCAUGAUUGGUUUGAGGGGAAGAUUCUUCUUCUCCUAGAUAACCAAGGUUUGUCAUCAUAAAAAAAUUGGAGAUUGUUAGCCCAAGGGUUCUCCUAAUCAUGUUUUGAUGAUAACAAACCAUGCUUAAGUUACUAAUUGGUUUGAAUUAUAAAGAAUUUCAAGUGUUAAUUUGAAAAUUCAUCAAAGAACCUAAUGGAUGCAAGAUCAAGAUUUUUGGAAGACCUUUAAUCAUAAGAAACAUAUGUAAGAUGAAUGCAUGGGUGCACUUAAGAUUUGCAUAUCAUUUCAUGCAUAUUUGGAAAACACGGUUUAUGCUUUAAAGUUACAUUUCCAUCAAAAUUUGAGAUCCAUCAAAUGAACCUUAGGAAAAAUGUUUUAAAAUUGGCAUAUAAUUUUACCUAAAGACCUUGCCUAAGUGUUAGAAGCAAAAGGACAAAAAAAAUAUAGGUUUUCUGGUCAAAAAUGGUGAACCAGUCAAGGCAUUGUCUAAAUCAGCUCAAUCGGCCAAGGUACCGGUCGAUCGGUUUCCCUUUCCCUGUCGAGAUCUAGUCAAGAGGUACAAAAAUCACAAUCUCUGUCUCUUUCUCUCUUUGUCUAUCUUCCAGUAGUCUUUCCUUCCCGGUCGAGGGAUUUGCCUUCCCGAUUGAGGUCCGAUUGAGAGUAAUAGUCACUUGCCAAAUAUUAAAUGCUCCAACAGUUAGUGAACUGGUCGACCCCCACCUUGCCCAGUUGAGGUUACUUUUUGGUUUUCUUGGCUCCCGAUGUUAGAAACCUAUAAAUAGAGAGUUCCACUUCAUUUAUGAGCAAGAGAACACUUGCAUUUAUUUGUUUACCUACUUGUUCUUGCCUUAAAAGCUCUCAUUUCUUUUCUUGGUGCAUUAAAUCUCCAUUUUGAUAUCCUUUAGUGCACCUUUGUGAUUCAUCUUAGCCUUGAGUUGUAUUUGAGCCCUUUUUUUAGCUAGGUUGAGAGUUUCAUACUUGUUAAUUGAGUGUUAAAGCCUUCAAGUGAGUUGAAACUUGUAGAGAUUAUGUGAGAGUCGAUUGGAGCCGAAAUCCAAGUGUAAAGGUGAUUAGAAGCUUGGUUGAAGCUUCAAGUUAGUGGAAUCCUCACUCAAUUAGGAGCUUGAGGAGAGUGGACGUAGCCAAGGAAGUGUCGAACCACUAUAAAAUUUGAGUUUGAUUUCUCUAACAUUGUCUCUUUAUAUUUGUUUAUCUUGUGCUUAAAUUUAUUGUGUUUAAAAAGAAUUUUUAAAUACCCAAUUCACCCCCCUCUUGGGUGUUUUUCUCUUUUAAAAUUAGCCUUUAUUUUCUCACAAACUAUUGUAGUAUAGUGGUUUUUAGGUGUCAUCCAUUAGGAUGAAUUGUUCUCGGUAAUUAAGGCGUGAAUGAGAGGAGAAUUAAUGAUUGUGAUUAAGUAAAAUUGAUUUGAAAAUUCAUGGUGAAAAAUCAAUUUAACAAUGGUUUCUAAUUGAGAAAAACAAUGAAAUGUGAAAUAAAAUAAAAUUAAUAGGAAAUGAAAUUCUCGAAGUUAGAAUUUUCUAAAAAACAAAUUCCAUGGUGAAUGGAUGUUGAGAUCUAAUUUUCAUCAAGUUAGAUUGAAAACCGAAAUUUUCAUAUAAACUGAUUUUUUAUUUAGUUUUAGGUCUAGAUUUAAUUUCCCUUAAAAUUAGGUUAUUUAAUCCAAGAAAUCAAUUCAAAUCAUAUAUUCAAUUCAUCUUAAAUUAUCUUCCAAUUAUUCACACAAUGCAACUAUUCAAUCUCAUCAAAUCUAGCUUUUAAGAAUUUAAUGAAUCUACCUAGUUUGCAUUGUAAUAGUCAUCCAUGACAAUUUGAAGAGAAAAAUAAUUCAAUUAAUCAAUCACUUGGAUCAAAUUACCUUUGCAAUUAAAGUUCAUUUCUCUAAUUCACCACAGAUUUUGUCUCUAGAUCCUCCUUUCUCAAAGAAAAAUGAGAUUUAGCCACACAUGAUUGGAGAUUUGGUCUCAUAAGGCAUGUUUAGCUAGUGAUAAAAUGAGAGAAAAUAAAGAAAAAUAGAGAAUUCGAUUAAGAAAGAAAAUCUAAAAAAUUCUACAAUUAGAAAUGUCCAAAAAGCUUUUUCAUGAGAAAAUCAAGUUUCUAUUUAUAGGCCAAGGUCAAGUGGACACUUGACAUCAUCUAAGAGGUCUUCCGGAAGCUUCUUCAUCAAGAAAUCUGGAGUUUAAUAAUAAAAUGGUCAUUUCACAAGAGCUCAAACAAUUUCGCAUGAUUAUGUGAAAUAAAAAAUGCAACAACAGCAAUUUACAUCUUCUUGGAGCAUUUCGCAUGACUGUGUGAAAUUUUCACAUGAUCAUGUGGAAUCGACUUGACAACUCUCAUUUAGCCUACAACAUAAUUCCACCUUUUGGUCCAUUUUUCAUAGUCAUGCGAAAUGGAAAUAUUUGAUUUUUAAGUUUUCUUUUGUCAUUUCUUUCAUUUCCUUCUCUUGAUUCCACUUCAACUACCUCCGAAUCCUGGUCCAAACCAAUUGCAUUACUUCUUUCAUUAUGCAUUUGGAUCAUCAUCAACAUUAUUUGUUCUCUUCAAUUUGAUUCAUCUCUUUUGUCACCAAUUUAUCAAAAUCAUACCUUGAAAUGACUCCAAAACUUCAUAAAACUUGUUAGUAACUCUUGCAAGGGCAACAACAUAUUAAUUAAGUGUUUUAGGCAUAGUUACUACUCAAAAGAUGCGAAACUCAUGAUAAUUAUUAUAUAAAAUAUGCUCUUUUUGAGUAGUAAUCAACUUUCUUGCAUAAGCAGACCUUUUAGGGUGGAGUACUAAAGACCAAUAUGCUUGUCCUUGUUGUAAUAAAGAAACUUGCUCUUAUUGAUUGCACCAUGGGAGAAAAUUUUGCUACAUGAGUUAUCAUCAAUUUCUUCCCACCAAUCAUAGAUUUAGACGUGACAAGAGGCCUCUUAAUGGCAAGGAGGAACUGACACUCACACUUAUACAAUUAUCGGGCAUUGAUGUGUUGCAACAAUUAGAAUAACUUACACCAAUUAUGUUGGGGAAGUCACAAAAGGCAAACAUGAAAACUAAAAGGAAAAAAGAAAAAUGUUACAUAUCACCACAACUGGAAAGAAAAAAGUAUUUACUUUCAUUUGCCAUAUUGGAAAGCACUUAUUUUACAUCAUAAUAAUUUAGACAUAAUGCAUAUUGAGAAAAAUGUGUGACAAUAUAAUUGAGACAUUGUUCAGUAUUGACGAAGAAACAAGGACAACCUAAAUAGUCAUCUCGAUUUACAAGCUCUAACUAUUAGAAAUGAGAUUCACCCAAUAGAAAGCAGGACCAAAUUUAUUUUGCUUGCAACAUGCUACUCACUCACCCCAAAUGAGAUUAAGGAAUUUUGCAAGUUUUUGAAAUCAAUAAAGGUCCCCAAUGGCUAUUCUUUCAAUAUCUCUCGUUAUGUGCAACUCAAUGAAAGGAAGAUAUAUGAGCUCAAAUUGUAUGAUUGUCAUGUCCUAAUGCAACAACUUCUCUCACUUGUAGUUCGUGGAGUUCUACAUAAGAAUGUUUGUGGAGUUAUCAUAGAAUUGCGUAAUUUUUUCAAGCAAUUGUGCUCAAAGGUGUUAGAAACAAAUCACUUACACCAACUUGAGAACAAUAUUAUUGUCAUACUAUGUAAAAUGGAGCAAAUAUUUCUUCCAUCAUUCUUUGAUAUUAUGGUGCAUUUACUUGUGCAUCUAGUAAGGCAAAGGUUGCAAGACUUGUGCAAUAUUGUUGGAUGUACCUAAUUGAACGAUAUUGUUAUAAUUUCAUAUGAAUCAUUUAAUUUUAUUUUAUAUUAUGUUCAGUUCAUUAACAUGUACAUUGGUCUACAUAUGGAUGAUGAUAGGUACCUAAGCACUUUAAAGUCAUAUGUGCGUAAUAGAACUUUUCUAGAAGGUUCUAUUGUAGAAAGGUACCUUGCAAAAGAAUGUACAACAUUUUAUUCUAGGUACUUGAAUGAUGUGGAAAUAAAGUAUAAUCACAAUGAUAGAAACUUUGUUGGUUUCAACACUAGAGGAGAUGAAAGGGGUUAUCUUUAAACAUAUUGGACAUGCAUUGGGAAAGCCCAUAUUUCAUUAACUUAGUUCAAAAGAGUGGUCACAAGCACAUUUAUAUGUGUUGACAAAUUGCGAAGAUGUCAUACCAUUCAUUGAGUAAAAAAUUUAUUUGAAUUUUAAUUAAAGCUCUAGUUUAUAUCCUUAAUCAAUGUUUUUUAAAUUCACAAGGAGCACAAGCAAACCAUCAAGGCUAGACCACAUAUACGUGUUUGAGACGUAGAUUUAAUUCAUAACAAGGAAUUUAUCAAGUGGUUUGAAAGACAUGUAAGUAUAUUCCUUAUUAUAAGGGAUUUAUUUCACAUUAUGUUUAUAUUGAAUCCAAACCUAUUAUUGAAUUGUAGGUUGAACAAUUACAUAAUGAAGGUCAUAUAUCUGAACACCUUCUCACAUUAUCAUGUGUUCCAAAUUCAUUAGUUACAUGCUUCAAAUGAUAUAUUGUCAAUGGAUUUAGAUCCCACAUUAAAGAACGUGAUAAAAAAGUUUUUAAAAAAAGACUCAGAAUAAUGGAAUUGUUGUAGUUGCAAAAACGUCAAGCUUUACAAGUGCAUGUGAUAUGAGUCCAAUUAUUAGUGAUGCUCUCUACUAUGGUGUUCUAACUAAAGUUGUUGAGUUACAUUAUCUUGGUGAAAAUAAGGUUGUUUUAUUCGAGUUUGAUUGGUGGGAUGUUACAAAUAUUGGAAAAUUGAUAAAAGAUGAUGAGUACAAUUACACAUUUGUUAACUUUGCAUGAAUUCUAACCACGAACGAACGAUUUGUACUUGCAUCUCCAGCAAAGUAAGUGUUCUAUGUGAAGAAUGCGAAUGAAUCAGAUUGGCAUACUAUCAUGGAGAUGCAACCUCAAGACCUCUAUAAGAUGAACGGGAUAGGAUCCAAUGGUGAUUUUGAACCAUUUCAACAAAGUGAACUACAUGAUCACUAAUAUAUCUCAGAUUUAGUUGAUGAAGAUAUAAUCAAGUGGAACAAAAGUGAUGUUUUAGGACUAAUCAUCCUAAAAAAUAUUGUAGUUUCUUAAAAAAAAAAUGAAAAUGAAGAAGAUAAUUGAACCUUUGUCAUACUUUAAAAAGCAACUAUGCAUUGUUCAUUUUGUAUGUUUUGGUUUUCUUCAUUUAAUUUCCUGAUUUUUGUGAUUCAAUGUCAUAUUAUUGAUCUUGAAAUAUUUUUCUAAUUUUUCAUUCUACGAUGGUUUCAACAAGGAUGACAUCAAGUCAAAAAAGGAAAUGUGGUCCCACACACAAUAUUGCAUUACAGGGAUUAAGGUCAGGGAAGAAGGUAAAAGUUGCAUUUAAUGAGUACAAUCAAUUGGUUAAACAGAAAAAUGGAAAACACUUAUCGAGCUACAUAGGGACACUUGUAUCUAACCAACACAAUGUACCUCUCCAAGCUAGUGAUUGGAAAAAUGUUCCAAAUGAUGCAAAAGAGAAAGUAUGGCCUUUGUUUUGGUAUGUUGUAUUUCUCACUAUAUGAUGUCAUUUCACUGUUAUUCUAUUUUGUGACUAACGUUUGAAUCAUAUGUAAGAAAAAUUUGAAGUAGAUAAAGACUGAAAAGAUUACAUGUUGGGUAUAGCCUCAAAUAAAUAUAGAAGCUAUAAAAAUAUGAUGAAUGCAAAAUACUAUGACCCUUGGCAUAAGGAUGCAUGAGGAGAGGUUAAUACAUAAAUCACCAUUUGUCUCUGAUGUUGAUUGGAAGUGGCUUGUCUCUGAUGCAUAAACCAAAUCCCCCACUGAAUGUUUGAUAUUUGAUAGCAGGAAAAACACACCCGCAGCUAUACACCUCCAUCAUUCAGAUAAUUAUAGUGGGGGAGAUGAUUCAUGGUUGCCCUUAUACCCUUUAUUUGCACCAUCUAUUGAGAUUCUUUAUCAUGGCCAGGUUUUACUGCAGCAAUAAGAUAUGGUGGCAACAAUUUUAUCUAUAGGUGCGGUUCCAGACCGCCUCCAUAGGUGCGGUUCCUGACUGCCUCCAUAGGUGCCUCUUCUUGUAAUGUUUGUUCUGGGAAUUACACUUGAAAGCCUUAUCGUGAUAAGGGAUUACAAACACUAGUUCAGAGGACAGCCAUGUUAAACUUCCACUAUGUUUGUGUCACAUUAUCAGCAGCCUAGUGUUUAUUGGUCAUGCUAUCUGCAACUAAUAUAACCCGGUGAACUUCAAUCUAAAUUCUGAAAGUACUCAUGUGACAGAUGGUGCCUUUCAGCAGAUAUCAUCAAUUUAAAAGUAGUGUGUGUGCCUAUAGGUGGGAAGGCCUUGGCAAAUGUUCAGUAUUCCGGUAAUUCAAGAAGGAUAUAUCUAAAAUAGAUUUUCUUCUUGCCCAUUUCAAUAGUUAAAAUUUGAGAAGAUUGUGUCCACAUCACACAAAUAUUAUUGGUCCUUCUGUUGCAAUUUACCUCUGAACAUGUCUUCCAAUUCCCACGGUCCUGUUACUCCAGGAAAACUAUUUCGGUCAUAUUGAAAAAAAAAAUAUUAAAGAAGGUACACAUGCUUUUAAGUGGACUGGGGCAUUCAUAUCAGGUGGUCUGUAUCCACAUAUGCCACUUCGUGAAAGGUGGAACAGCCUAAUCACUAGGCUAUUUAGUGUGGCCCAGCCACGUUAAUCAAGCACAAGUCUUCAUACUUAAAGUCAAAUGGUGUCUUUAGUCUCAUUACACAUCGCUAUUUGAAGAUUAACUCAUCACUAGUGUAAUGCGAUUAAGACAGUCCUAACUCAAUAUUUGUUCUAGUUUUGGAUGCAAAUGCUUGCUGGUUUCAUCAUUGGAUGGGAUAAAGGUGCAAUCAGGACUAUGAAUACGUGCAGUAAUACUUCAUUCUCUUUUUUCUCAAUGAGACUUCUUGGCACAAUUUUGCUGCUCAGCAACCUACCUUUCCAUGGAAAAUCAGUUGUGACUGAUAGUAAUGGAUAUAUUCUAGAAAGCUAAACAUAGAUAGCAUUCAAUAUUAUCGAUAUAACAUUAACAGCGUAUGUCUCAAUGCUCAUCAGCUACAAGCAAUGGACAAACACUUUGAGUAACUCACAGCAGUCAAAAUUCCUAAACAGGACAGACGUGACAGAUCUAUAUAUAGAACACUGCAUAUGAGUCACAGGAAAAGAUAAUACGGGUACAUAGAAGCUCUUAUUUUACAUAUUACUCAUACUGAUCAAAGUCGCUCAGUUGGGAUGGAUGGGAGAAGGAGGUUUGAGGGGUGGCUUGUGCGGGGAAGUUGGCAGCUUCUUUCCGGGAGCUGGUUGCUUCUUUGCUGGAGUUGAAGGAGGCUUAAUCUUCCGAGGUGGCUUGUAUGAGUCUUCAGCAUUCUCAGCAGGAGGGUGACCAGGGUUGUGACCAUAAUGUGGUGGCUUCUCUCCCUUAGGUGGUUUGCCAACUGGGGUUGGUGGCUUGUUUUCUGGGAGUGGCUUCUCUCCCUUGGGUGGUUUGCCAACUGGGGUUGGUGGCUUGUGUUCUGGGAGUGGCUUCUCCCCCUUGGGAGGUUUUUCGAAUGGGGUGGGUUUGUGUCCUGGUGGUGGCUUCUCUCCCUUGGGAGGUUUACCAAUUGGGGUCGGUGGCUUGUGUUCUGGGAGGGGCUUCUCUCCCUGGGGAGGUUUAGUGGGUGGCUUGUGUUCUGGAGGUGGCUUCUCCACCGGAGGCUUAUGCUCUGGUGGUGGCUUCUCGAAGGGGGGAUGCUCAGGGUAAUCACCAAGUGAGGGGGUGGUGAGAACCACCAUGCCAAGCAACAACACUAGCAAGUAUGUAGUAGACAUCUUUGGGUUUGGACUCAGACAGUGCAAAACUACGAGAAAUCGCUAGCCCUUUAUAGCGGCUCGGACCUAAUACUGACAUAAUAUAAAAUAAAUAUUAUAUUUUAUCAAGAGAGAACAGAGUGUAAUUUUAUCAUUAAUACCGAUCGAGGCCAAAGAAAGAAGACCCAUAAUCCAUUUCCCACAAGCAUACACAAUGCAGCUGUAAUUUUAUCAUUUACUUUUAUCCCUUGGACCACUGCAUUUUUGUUGAGAGACACAAUAACACAUUUUUAUCUGUCAUUCAACAUUUACAGUAAAGAGAGGGCACAAAACGCAAUUAGAUAAAUUAUGUUUUGCCUGCUAAAAAGAGGCAAAUAACUUUAUUUGCAACAUAAUUAUUUUGGUUUCUAGUGACCCCGGGGCCUUUCGGUUGGUUUGGGAUCGGAAAAUGAACAUCAUAGGGGGGGUUGUGCCCUUAUGGGCAUAUAUAUCUGAUAGCUUCAACUGGCCUUGUUCCUAGAAAGAAAUUGCCAAAGAUAUAAACUUAUUCCAGGCUGAAAGUAGAUGAGAGUCAUAAUGAACAUCAACCUUUGUUCAGUUUGAUUCAAUGCCCCCAUAGUGUUCAUUUCACAGAUCUGAAUGAUUAUAUCCGUUGAAUACAUAAAUUAAUGAAGACAAAUAUGAAACCCAAGAUACAUCUCUGCAUAACAACCCCAACCCUGGUUGCUAUGUUUCCCUUCUUCUAUUCACAUGAGGAUACUGGUUAUAAUUGUCAAACUUGCAACAAGCCCUUUGACACCUAACGUCAAUGGACGAAUUAAAAGUCUCCUUCAAACGUCUAUUUCACAGCAUGAAGCUUAUAAAGGAUGCUGACAACCUUCAGAGUUAGCGACAAAAGAUAAUUAUCAAGGAGAGAUAGUUCCAUGAGAAUUCCAAGGAGUCUGAAUCAAAGACAAAUUGCUCACUCAAGGGUUCUUAUUUUCUUUUAGGUACAAAUCUCUUGAGUGUUGUUAAAGAAACACGUCACUGUCAUUUUGAUUUGCAUUUAACAUUUCACUUUUGUUCUGGAAGGUUUGUUCCGGAAACAUAUCAAAUGAGCAUCAUUUUCUUCUUCGGUGACACAUGGUCGCGAGUACGUGGGUCCAUUUUCAUGCCACUUAGUUGAAAAGUUGGAAAGAAAAAACAUGCCAACAAGAAGAUAGUGAGAGAAGGGGCACUUCAAGCCUUUAACAUGAACAAACAGUAAAUAAAAGAUGUUUCUCCACUCAUAAAAGUGUGUUAGAUAGCAAUAUAACGAAUCACAUCCAAAAUCUUUACUAGGCUCAAACAUAAAGAAGACUCAUUUUUAAGAAAAGAUAAAAAUGGCAUUGUCUGAUAGUAUCCAAUACACGAGAUGGCACUUAAUUUGUACAAGAUCUGUCAAUGCUGACGCACAUUUUCUGAUUAAAAAAAAACUGAUCAGUCAAAAGCAAUGAAGAGAAGUGAUGACAAUGAAUGAUGCUUCCAAUAUUUUCACCCCUUAUAGUGUUCUUCAUGAUUCAGAUAUAUAAUUGGAAAUAGAACAACCCUAUGCCAUACAUUCGUCUAAGUAUGGUGUCUAAUUUUUUGUGUCAGCGGUUGCGAAUGGAGCGUGCAAAAGUCCAAAUUGGCGUCUCUCCAUUUCCACAUAGGAAGGUGACCUUUAUUGACAAAUACCCAAUAUUUGUAGACAUUCCUUAAAUAUCAUAACUUCUUGUUGAUUUGAAAAUCAUUUUUCAACUACCAUGUUUUAAUAAAUAUUUUUUAAAAUGUAUUUUUAUCAAAGUCCACCAUGAUGGAUAAUAUUCACCAUGCAAUAAUUAAUAAAGUACAAACUAAGCGAAAUGAAAAGCAUUUUCUUUGCUUUGAGUUGAUUUUGGUUGCAUUGAGUUGAUUUUGGUUUCAUGGUUUUUUCAACUCUUAUUUUGAUUGGAAGAUGUCAAGAAAAGAAAACAUAAAGAAAAAUUAAAAGGGAAAAAAGAAGAAAAAUAAAAAAAAAUAGAUUUAAAAGUUAAUAAAUUAUUUUUUAUAUUUAUUUUAAUUCAUUUCACUUAUUUUUCUUUUACUAUAUAAAAUUUAAAUAAUUUAAAUUUUAUAAUUAAUUUAAUUACAUUUCAUUUUCUUCUAUAUUUAAAUAUUGGAAAAAUAUUUUACUUAAUAUUUUUUUCUUUAAUUUCUUUGGCAUUUUGGGAACCAAACUUAGCCUUUAAAAUAAAAAACAAAAAAAAAAUGAAAAUAAGGAGGGAAAAGUGAGAAAAGAUAAAAACAAUAUGUAAAGGAUUUGAAAAGUAUUAGUUUGUAAUUACUAUUUGGAUUUCAAUAGUAUUUUAUUUGUCUUUCUAUAUUUCAUGUAAGAGAGAAUUUAAGAUAUUCCCCAAGGCAAAGCAUUAGUUACCUGCAAUCAGUGGUGAUAAGGCUCCAAGCCAAUUUUGGGCCCCAUAUCUUAAGACAGUACAAUUUCCAUUUCAACAUUUCUGAUUUCUCAGAUGUUUCACAUACCACAGAAGAACAUUGUUUGUGAAAAUAUGCAUUUAUGUUGGAUUUUGUAUGCUGUGGGGACUGGGGCAAGGAUCAUAUGGAAGAGUGGUUGACUUUUUCUGUACUUUAACGGUUGAAAUAGGAUAAGCACGGGCAUUUGUGAGGCUUAAUUGAUUUUGAAGCCUGAAAUUGCGUUUCUGUCAUUUUGUCAAAAAAAUGGCAGAUUCCAUACUCAUAUGUUUGGCCUGUGGCCAUGUACAGAUGCCAUUUAGUGACCAGUUUGUAACUGUCAAUCGUUGCGUUUUGACUCUGCCUCAACAACAUCUGCCAUUGACGGGUUUUCAUACUUGCAAAUCAAAUAGUCUUUCGUCCCAUCAGGAAUUUCGGUUUAAAUAUUAUUAAGCAUACGUUUGGCUGACAAUCAUUAUCCAGUUCAUGAUUUGGUUUCUUACCCUUAAUCAAUGGUUUCUAAGUGAAUAUAUGUAGAAGGAAAUCCGAAGUGUAGACAGUAGUAUCGAUAACUCUCAAUAUUCUCUAUAUAAUAGAAUAAACAGCGUCAUAGUGAUCGUCGCCUACAAGCAAGGUACAAAUACCAAAACGAGUGACUCACAUAGACAUCUCCCAACAAGAUGUAGUAGUGACUGACACAUGGACACAAUUAACUCGUAGAAAAGGAUAAGACCAUUGCACAGCAGCUCUUAUUUUACAUACUACUUAUGCUAACCAAAGUCAAUUAGUUGGGAUGGGUGGGAGAUGGAGGUUUGUGCGGUGGCUUGUGGGGCGGAGUUGAUGGCUUCUUUCCAGGAGCUUCUGGCUUUUUCAUCGGAGCUGAAGGAGGCUCAAUCUUAUGAGGCGGCUUGUAUGAGUCUUCUUUACUCUCGACAGGAGGGUGGCCAGGGUUGUGAUCAUAAUGUGGUGGCUUCUCUCCCUUAGGUGGCUUGCCAACUGGGGUUGGUGGCUUGUGUUCAGGAAGUGGUUUCUCUCCCAUGGGAGGUUUAGCAAUUGGGGUUGGUGGCUUGUGUUCUGGGAGUGGCUUCUCUCCCUUGGGAGGUUUAGUAGGUGACUUGUGUUCUGGAGGUGGCUUCUCCACCGGAGGCUUGUGCUCCGGUGGUGGCUUCUUGGUUGGAGGGGGCUUGGGGUAAUCAGCAAGAGAUGGGGUGGUGAGAACCACCAGUCCAAGGAACAACACUAGCAAGUAUGUGGGAGACAUUUUUGAGUUUGGGCUGAUCAGAUGAUGCAAAACUAAAGCAUUACGUGACCUUUUAUAGCAUGUAGCUCCCAAUACCCACUAAGUAUUGUGGGGUCCAUUUGUGCCCUACGGGGUUGAAAACUUAGACAAUUGGGCAAGGACCCACCUGACUAUGGAGGACUAGUGAGGUGUGAUCAUAGCUUUAGGAUUUUUCUUCCUCUGCAGCCGUCGUGCCGUUGGCAUGAUUUUCUUAAUCUUAAAUAAAGGCAUAGUUAUAGAGUUGUUUAAUCUCUAAAUGGGAUUUUAUAUAUAUCUUCAGAUAGCCAUUAAUAUAUUUGAUGAAGAAAGAAAGACAAGUGCAUACAACAUGUAUACGACUAGCUUUCAUGGAGUUCAUUUAUGAUCAGUUUUCCUGUACAUGUAAACCAGGAUCAUAUAUAUGUUUCUGUUCCACAACUAUUUUGGAAUCUUGUUUAUCAGUUUUUAUCAUUAUAAUGUCACAUAGGCUGCCAACUUGGGCGCUAAAAGAACCAGUUGGGCUAGUUCGUUUCAGAAUUUCAAUGUGGAUUCAGGAAUUGUUUUGUAAGAUAUGCGAAAUAGUAGAGGGAUGAAUAGUGUUUCAUUAAUAAAAGUGUCCUGUAAAUUAGAAGGUGUCAUAGAAACUAUAAUCAAUAAAUAACUUUUUUUCCCCACGGGUGGUGUUUCUUGUGGGGAUCAGUGACUGGUUUAGGUUCACCCAAAAUGAGUUCAGACUAAAAUUGGUUUGAGUCAAUGCCGUGUCUCUUUUUUCCAGAAAUCAACUAUUUUAUGCAUUGAAUAAAUCAUACAAAGAAAAUAUGAACGCCCGCAAAACCUAAACCCUGGUUGCUAACUUUCUAUGUUUCAGUUCUAUUCACGCAAGAAUAUUAGUUUAAGUUUGGGAAAAAUGGCAACUUACCUAGUGAUUACUUGGUUUUGGUUUGCGACUAUUUACGCAACCAACCAUGAGUUUGACUUUAACGUCAUGGGUUGAAGCCUCCUACAGGAAGGGAGAAAGCUCCACAGCUAGCUCCAAAAGAGAAUUAUCACAUUGAUAGCUCCAGAGAUUCCCAAGGGGACUGAAUCAAAGACAAGUUCCUCACUUUUUCUUCUUUUGAGGCCAAAUAUGAACCAAGGAUCACACAACCUCAUUCAACUUCAUAAGUUUGAUUUCAUGCAGUUGAACACUGGGUGAAGGCCAUGACAAGAAUUGAUUCAAAAAUUCUAUCACUCUUUUAAGUAAUGGAAGAUUAUUAUCUCUGAUUGGCAUCACAACAGCACAUGCUCCUAGAUCUUUCUAGACACUCCAUGCAAUGAAAGCACAAUGGAUCUUGUAACGAUAGAAACUAAGCCAUGCUACAGUACUAGAUGAUGAGGUAAAACUAGUAGACACGGGUGGCAGCCUAUAUGGGAGGGACACAAGUCUAAUUGAUUUGCAUUUCAGCAUUAUAGAUAGGUAUGUUUUGGAAGAUUUGUUCUGGAAAUACCGCACCAAGUAGGAUUCUUUUUCUCUUUAGUGGGUCCACUUGCAUGCCAAUUAACGAGUUGAAAAGUAUGAGCACCUACCUCGUGCUCGUGGAACCGAAGGUCAGUGAAGUGGGGCUCCUUUUGGCCUCGUGUAAACUUGAUUCAGAAGUGAAGUUAAUAGUCUUCCAUUCAGAUGGAUACAUGGGAAUUUUUCUCUUUUAUUUAUUUAUUUAUUUUUUUUUUGUGUGUGUAUGUCAAAGGAUAAUGAAUGAAGCGCGUUAGCUUGUUUUCUGACUGGAACCGCAGAUGUCCAAAUUGGAGUUCCUUCAUUUCUUACUUAGGAUUGUUACAUGUAUAAACAAGGUAUAAGAAAUAUGCCAACGUGUCUUGAGGAGUUAUUGAUUAGAAAUAACAAGUCACCCGACUGUAGAGUUCCAAGAUUUGAAUCUUCAGACCCUAUAGCAGCCUCUGGGGUACGUGGCAUCCUAUAGCAUAUUAAUGAAGGCUUUUUCGAUUUAGACUUCACAAUACCAAUUAAUAUGUAUGCACAAAAUGGAGAUGACCCCAAAAAAAACAGAAUCGCCAUAGUUUAUGAGGUUAAGGUGAUUCUCCACUUAAUAUCUACAUUAGCUAAUUAUGUAAAUCAAAUGAACUUCUAUUUUUCCUUUUUUUUUUUGGUUUAUGUCAAAUAGUAGCCCAUAAUUAACCCAACCAUUAGCCUGUUUGAAUUGAUUUCACAUGCACAAUGUUGUAGUAGUUCAUAUUUUGAAUUUUAUUUUUACAAAGGUAGUUAAGGAAAAUGAAGUAUAAUAAUUAUAAAAGCAGACUAUAUACACUACAAUAAUUGUUAGAAUGGUAUCUCAAAUUCUAAUUUAAAAUAUUAUUUUUUGUAAAAGAAAUAUUAUAUAGAAUAUUUCCUAAUUUUAUAAAUGAUUAUAAUUAGAUCUUUAUAAAAUAAGGAAAGUUGGUAAGAAUAUCUUUAUAAAUAUUUUAGGUCAUGAGAGAAAGAAAUGGGAUAAAAAUGUGAUGAAGAGGUGAAAUAAGAGAGUUGAUUAGGAUAUAGAUGUGAAGAAGAAAGGGAUUCAAUAUAUAUAUAUCUUUCAAUUACCACAUUAAAACCCUGUGAACCUUUUAUAUGGUUUACUUUAUUUUUAUAUUCCUCCUUUAAUAUAUUUACAUUAAUGCUUCCAUUGGCACAACAAUAACGAAUUACAAAUACAAGCAACAAGUCCCAUGUUUUAUUACCAAAAGCAGGUAAAAUCCACCUAAUAUAUUACAAUAUAUUCAUCCAAUAUUUUAGACCAAUUCUUCACCAUAAAUAUCAUAAUGUGGCUUUUGUUCUUUCUUAAAUUUAAAUUGAAUUGUCUUAUAUCAAUUUGUUUGUGAUUUUUUCAUUAACUUCACUUUCAUUUGGUUAUCUUUGGUUUUUGAAAAGUAUUAAGGAAUUAAUUAACAAAAUAAUGUUAAGAAAAAUAAUUUUCUCUCUUUUGAUUUUGAUUUUGUAGUAGAAAAAUAUAAUUAAAAUUAUUUAAAAAGUAUGUAAUUUUAAAUUAUUUAAUAUUUAGAUAAAAAAAAUAAGUCUAAUGAGUUUAAAAUAACAUAUAAAAAUAAUUUAUUUAUUUUAAAUUUAUUUUUUAUUUUCCAUUAUGUUCUCUUUCUCUUUUACUUUUUCAUAUUUUUUCUUACGAAGAAUCAAACACAACCUCAUAUUAUAUGUCAAGUGUUUGUCUAUAUUUGAGCAAUGUUAGAUACGGCCAUGGAUUCAUCAAACUAAACUGAUUUUAAUAGAUACUUCACAAAUUGAUUUAUACACUAAAUCAUUGGAUAGCAAUGAUGCAUUGGAAUUAAACGUAGGAUGAAGCUCGAAGAACACUGUUUGUGUAACAACAUAUUUAUGAAAUUAUGCAAAGGAUGAGCUUCGGGGUAGUAGUACAAGGUCAUUAAUGGAGAGCCGUGUUAAACCUUGAUUGUGAUUGGAUUCCGUUAUCAGCAACAGCAACCUUGUUUGUAACCUUGAAAGUCAUUCUGUCCACAUCGAAACUCCAAUUUGACGUUUGUAAUUACCAUUCCUGGAGUGUUCCUUGAUUGAAAUUUAAAUAAUAAUUGCGGCCCACAAGGAAUAUUUUCGAUUCUGUGGGAAUUUGACAAGGUUUGUUAGAGAAGACUGGUGACAUGUUGACUUCAAUGGUUCAAAUAGGAGACGUAUGUGGAUUUGGGGGGUUUAAUUGAAACUGAGUCCCUAUGGCUUUUUAAUAUUUGCAUUGAGCAGUCUCCAUGUGACUUCCUAAUUCCCACCAACCCUCCUGUCCAUGCUGUGAAACUAAAUUGUAAUUUAUCAGCCUUUGUCAAUGGUUUCUAAAUUAAAGAUAUAGACCAUGCAUGUACUUUAAUAAAAGCAAAUCUAAAGUGUAGAUAGCAGCAAUGGUGACACCCAAUAUUCUCCAUAAAAUAGAAUUAGAAUAAGCAGUGUUACAUUGUUCAUGAUCACCUACAAGCAUACAAGAACUUCCAUGAAUAACUCAUAGCAAUUGCCAACAGGGCGUCGUAGAGACUCAUACAUAGAACACUAUCCACCCAGAGGAAAGGACAAGACCAGUGCGCUGCAGCUCUUAUUUUUCACAUGUAUACCACCACUCGUAAUAACCAAAUUCACUCAGUUGGGAUAGGUGGGAGAUGGUGGUUUGUGGGGUGGCUUGUGGGGAGGAGUUGGAGGAGGCUUUAUUUUCUGAGGCGGCUUGUAUGAGUGUGCAGGAGGAUGCCCGGGAGUGUGACCAUAAUGUGGUGGCUUCUCUCCCGUAGGUGGUUUGCCAAAUGGGCUUGGUGGCUUCUCUCCCUUAGGAGGUUUACCAAUUGGGGUUGGUGGCUUGUGUUCUGGGAGUGGUUUCUCUCCCUUGGUAGGUUUGCCAAUUGGGGUUGGCGGCUUAUGUUCUGGGAGUGGCUUCUCUCCCUUGGGAGGUUUGCUAAUUGGGGUUGGCGGCUUAUGUUCUGGGGGCGGCUUCUCUCCCUUGGGAGGUUUGCCAAUUGGAGUUGGCGGCUUAUGUUCUGGGAGUGGCUUUUCUCCCUUGGGAGGCUUGCCAAUUGGGGUUGGCGGCUUAUGUUCUGGGGGUGGCUUCUCUCCUUUAGGAGGUUUGCCAAUUGGAGUCGGCGGCUUAUGUUCUGGAAGUGGCUUUUUUCCCUUGGGAGGUUUGCCAAUUGGGGUUGGCGGCUUAUGUUCUGGGGGUGGCUUCUCUCCCUUGGGAGGUUUGCCAAUUGGAGUCGGCGGCUUAUGUUCUGGGAGUGGCUUCUCUCCCUUGGGAGGUUUUGUUGGUGGCUUGUGUUCUGGAGAUGGCUUCUCCCCUGGAGGCUUGUGCUCCGGAGGUGGCUUCUGAAAUGGCGGGGGCUUGGGGUAAUGAGCAAGAGAUGGAGUACUG
RNAcentral lists this long non-coding RNA (80332 nucleotides) under Vitis vinifera (wine grape). Its description in RNAcentral is "long non-coding RNA (VVIN_LNC001392)". The record is from RNAcentral. Lineage: Eukaryota; Viridiplantae; Streptophyta; Magnoliopsida; Vitales; Vitaceae.